CAGGAACAAGAGGGCUCUCGCAGCUGCUUAGCAGCUACGCUCGGGCCCUAAUAAUAACAAAAGAAGAAUCCAUCAGGAACAAGAGGGCUCUCGCAGCUGCUUAGCAGCUACGCUCGGGCCCUAAAGAAGAAGAAAGAAGAAUCCAUCAGGAAUAAUAGGGCUCUCGCAGCUGCUUAGCAGCUACGCUCGGGCCCUAACUAUUGUAGUAUAGGAUGCAAUGUUGUUAAGAACAGUUUCAGCUGGAAAACAAGCAAGUGUAACAAUAACCCAGUUUAUACAGAAUAAUCUGGCAAUAUGAUUACUGCACAGCUUUAACAUUGAUGUAAGUAAAAGAUUAGCUGACACGAACAAAAAAGGAGUGAUCACAGAGAAACACACCAACUUCACCAGUCUCUGCUUUGACAUGAGGGAGUGGUACUCCAAUGGUCGACAUAUUGCCACAUACCUGUCAUAGGCCAUUACUGCAAGGAUUGAUAAAUCACCACAGGCGAAAUUGUGCAUUACCAUUGCCUGAAUUAGACAUCCAGAAUAAGAGAUAACAUGGACUGGAGACAGCAGAUCCCAGAGAAGCUUUGGGUAGAAACCAGUUGAUCCAAACAGCCCAUUAAUGCAGAAUGCACACAGUAGAAUAUACAUGGGUUCAUGCAGGUUUUUAUCUAUGAUGAUCGUCACAAUGAGAACUAAAUUAACAAACAAAAUCGAACAGUAACAAAGUAAAGUGAGAGAGAAAAUGACAGAGCGGUAUUUCUUUGUCUCAUUGAGACCUGAGAGAAAAAACACUGAAGAGUUGUCCAUCGAGACAAGCUGUUUUAUGUAGGGGGCAUAAUUGGUAUAACCCAGUCCCUAACAGUCUGAGCUCUCUGUUUUACUGGUAUUAAUGUAUUUUAAGAUUAUAUAAACACAAGAUGGGAAUUCAAAUGAACCAAUCGGUGUAGCUUGCCUGAUCAUCACCUGGAUACAAACUCUAAACACAACACAAAAUGAAAAUUAGAAUCAGAGGCAUGUGGAUUGUGAAAAAAUAUUUUAACUCUCAGUGUCCACAAUUAAAUGUUCUUGUCUCCUUUUCAUGUUGGUUUCUUUUCUAUUCAAACACAGUGAUAGAAGAAGAAACAUGAAGAGGAUGUUUUGAGUCUGAGUCCAUGAAUUAAAAUUAAAACAUCUUUUUGAGUGUAUGAAGCAGAUGGACCAUUCAAAGUGUGUUAAUUGAUGACCAAUUCAACUCUACUUAAGUUGUUUAGGUUUAUUACAUAAACAUGGAUGAAUUGAUAUACUUGAAAAUAGGUGUAUUAAUUUAUUUUGGACAAGUCAUUGAAUACUCCUGACAUUAUUCAGGCCAUUUACCCACUAUCGCUCCUGUUGUCAGUGCAGACGCACUCAAGCACAAAUGUAAAUUAUUAAAAUCUAACUAAGCUGACUAAACACAGCAUGUCUUACAGCUGUCACUUUUGUUGGCUUGUAAGUCUGUUACUGGUGGUCAGGGCUCCACAUUUUAAAAGAACUUACAAAAUAUUAAAACUAGGAGGGAAAGUAAUGGCAAAAAAAAACCAAUUCAUCUAAUGCAGACUUUUCCCCCAUACUUCCUCCUUAUUCAAAUAUUUCAAUUGCAUAAUUUAGAAUAUUGUUAUCAUAAACAUAACUGAUUAGAUGGUAAAUACUUCGUGUUGCAUCUUUACAGGUUAAAACAAAGUUAGUAUUAAUAUAGUUUUGUCAGCCUCCUGACUGUAAUCAAAUUAUUUGGCGUGAACAAAACCCAGAAUUCUGUUUCUAAUCUUCUUCAGUUUAAAACCAUAGAUAAGUGGGUUCAUUAGAGGGGGUAUGAUAAGAAACUCUAUUGAAAUAAAGUUUUUGAUGGUUUGAGAUACACUUUUAGAACCAUAUCUGAGAUACAUAAGAUCAAAAAGAAUUGUCACAAGAAAAGUCAACAGCGAGAUAACAUGAGGCACACAUGUCUGCAUGAACUUUGCUCUGUUUUCUAUAGAAUUCACACAAGUUUUGAUGAGAUAGGCGUAGGACCAAACUAUAAAAACACCAUGAAGAAAAUAAAUUACAAUGGAGAUAUAGGCAACUAUGUUAUUAAGAACAGUUUCAGAUUGAAAACAAGCAAGGGUAACAAAAACCCAGUUUAUACAGAAUAAUCUGGCAAUAUGAUUACUGCAGAGCUUUAACCUUGAUGCCAAGUAAAUGUUAGUUGAUAUUACAGCAAAAGGAGUGAUCACAGAGAAACACACCAACUUCACCAGUCUCUGCUUUGACAUGAGGGAGUGGUACUUCAGCGGUCGACAUAUUGCCACAUACCUGUCAUAGGCCAUUACUGCAAGAAAUGAUAGAUCACCACAGGCAAAGGUUUGCAUUAUCAGAGCCUGAAUUAGACAUCCAUAAUAAGAGAUAACAUGGACUGGAGACAGAAGAUCCCAGAGAAGCUUUGGGUAGAAUCCAGUUGAUCCGUACAGCCCAUUAAAGCAGAAUGCACACAGUAGAAUAUACAUGGGUUCAUGCAGGUUUUUAUCUAUGAUUAUCGUCACAAUCAGAACUAGAUUAACAAACAGAAUCGAACAGUAACAAAGUAAAGUGAGAGAGAAAAUGACAAAGCGAUAUUUCUUUGUCUCAUUGAGACCUGAGAGAAAAAACAUUGAAGAGUUAUCCAUUGAGACAAGUUUUUUUAAGGAGGAGGCAUAAUUGGUACAACCCAGUCCCUCACAGUCUGAGCUCUCUGUUUUUACUCGUAUUAAUGUACUUUAAGAUUACAUGAACACAAGAUGGGAAUUCAAAUGAACCAAUCACUGCAGCUUGCAUGAUCGUCACCUGGAUACAAACUAUAAACACAACACAAAAUGAGAAUAAGAAUUAAUAAUAAUAAUAAUAAUAAUAAUUUUAUUUAUAUAGCACCUUUAAAAACAGAAGUUUACAAAGUGCUUAGACAACAGUUGUAAGCACAGAGCAUCAGCACAUUGAAAAUAAAAACACAUAAAAACAAAAGCUCAGUUAAAAAACAGGCAUCUGAAUUGUAGGCCUGUUUCACUUUUCGUAAGAAACCCAGGCAAUACAAGAACCCUACAAAAUAAAUGGGACCAUGAGGACCAAAAUAAAAGCAAAAAAAAACAAAAAAAAAAGAAAUAGAAAAGGAGGGAAGAAAACAGGCUAGUAAGUAUAAAAGAGGAUAUUAAUAAUAAUAAUAAAAUCAUAAUAAAAUAAAAUGAUGGUAAUAUAAAUGAUAAAGUGGAAUUAAAUAUAUAUAUAUAAAAUAAAGUAAAAUGAAAACAUUAAAAUCAAUAAAAAGAUUAUAAGUAAAACAAAGGCUAAAAAGGCAGUAAGUCUAAAUAAGAAAGAGGUGAAAGAGGUAAAAGAAAAAGGAGAAAAAUAAAAACGGUAAAAGGCAAUAAAAGAUGAAAGAUGGCAUCACAUAAAGGCAAGUCUGUAAAAGUGAGUUUUUAAAAUUGACUUAAAAGAAGCGACUGUCUCUGCACGCCUUAUCUCCUCUGGCAGGUCGUUCCAAAGUCGAGGAGCUCUGAUGGAGAAAGCUCUAUCACCUUUAGUCUUGAGCCUCGACUUUGGAACGACCAGGAGGCCUUCGCUAGAGGAUCUGAGGCUGCGAGUUGGCUCAUAAGAUAUUAAAAGCUCUGAAAUGUAGCUUGGAGCAAGUCCUUUGAGCGCUUUAAAAGUAAUCAAUAAAAUCUUAAAAUCAAUUCUAAAGCUGACAGGAAGCCAGUGAAGGGAGGCUAAAAUUGGGGUGAUGUGAUGCCGUCGACUAAAACCAGUUAAAAGUCUAGCUGCUGCAUUCUGAACUAGUUGGAGGCGAGAGAGUGAUUUCUUGUUUAGACCAGGGAGGAGAGAGUUACAAUAGUCCAGUCUUGAGAAAAUGAAGGCGUGGAUUAUCUUUUCGAGAUCUGGUGGGGUGAGUAUUUGUUUAAUCUUUGAAAUGGAGCGCAGGUGAAGGAAACAGGACUGGACAAUCUUGUUGAUAUGGGUGGAGAAGGUGAGGUCUGAAUCAAAGGUUACUCCCAGAUUUCUGGCUGUUGGUUUGAUGAUUACUGAGUGUGGACCGAGACAAGACUGAAUGAGGGGGGAGUUUUGUAUGUUACAGAGAAUUAUUUCAGAUUUUGAAUAAUUUAGCUGAAGGAAAUUUUGUGCCAUCCAACAGUUAAUGUCACUUAGACAGUCCAUGACAGCAGCUAGGCCUCUUGGGUCCUCAGGUCUCAAAGGAAGGUAUAUCUGUGUGUCGUCUGCAUAGCAGUGAAAGGAGACUUUGUGGCGCUGAAUUAAUUGGCCGAGGGGCAGCAUGUAUAUAGAAAAUAAAAUUGGACCUAAAACUGAACCUUGCGGAACACCACAGGCGAUAGCAGAAGUAGAGGAGGUGUGAUUGCCUAUGGUGACCGCAAAGGUUCGUUCUAAAAGAUACGACUGAAACCAGCCAAGUGCAGUGCCCCUGACACCCACCCAGUUUUUAAGACGUUCAAUUAAAAUGGUAUGAUCAACUGUAUCAAAAGCUGCACUGAGAUCUAAAAGAAUUAAAAUUGAGCCCUCCCCUCUAUCUGCUGCUAAAAGAAGGUCAUUGGUCACACGGAGGAGGGCAGUCUCAGUGCUGUGACCUGCUCUAAAACCAGACUGAAAUUUCUCAAAGAGGUUGUUUUCGGACAUAAAACCUAAAAGCUGUUUAGAAACCACCUUCUCUAAAAGUUUGGAUAAAAAUGGAAGUUUUGAAAUUGGUCUAAAAUUGUUAAAAUCAGAGGGGUCAAGGUUUGGCUUCUUUAAAAGGGGUUGGACCACAGCGUGUUUAAAAGCAGAGGGAAAUACUCCCUCCACUAGAGAGCUAUUAAUGAUGGAUAAAAUGCAAGGCCCAACCACGUUAAAAACCUCUUUGAGAAAUCUGGUGGGGAUAGAAUCAAGACUGCACGUAGCUGGUUUCAUUUUGGCUAAAAUAUCAGAUAAAAAUUUUAAGGACACCGGCUCAAAACUACUAAAAAAGUGCUUAACUUCCCGGCUUAAGAGCACAGGGAGACUGGGAGGGGUGAUUUGAUGCCUGAUGUCCAUAACCUUGUUAAUAAAAUGAAUUAAAAACUUCUCACAGGUUUCUUGAGAAUCAUCAGUAAAAUAAGAGGGGGAAGGGUUUGAAAGAGACUCUAAAACCUUGAAUAAAAUUCUGGGGUUUGAAUAAUUAGCUAAAAUCAAAUUUGAGUAAAAUGCUGCCCUUGCAUCCUUAACUGCCUUCUGGUAGUUUUUCAAGGAGUCUCUCCAAAUUUCGAGGAAAACCACCAACCCAGUUUUCUUCCAUUUGCGUUCGUUUCGUCUACAAAUUCUCUUUAGUUCAUGGGUGGACUCUGUGAGCCAGGGUUGGGGUUCUCUGUUAGAUCUUUUCUUUUUCAGAGGAGCUACAGAGUCCAGGAUGGUUCCACACAUACUGUUAAAAAGAGAGACAAGCUCUUCAGUGUUAAAAACUGGAUUAAAAUCUGGGUUGAGGGCAGUUAAAGAUGCAGAGAUAAAAAGCUCCGAAAACUUGCUAGCAGACGAAUUAGGGGCAUUUUGUCUGUGAAAAAAUAUCCUCUCAAAUUUCAUUAUGGACUUCAAUCGGGAACUUUUUUAAAUAGAUGUUUCAGAAGGAAACAAAACAUUGUUACUCUCAGUGUCCACAAUCAAAUAUUCUUGUCUACUUUUCAUUUCGGUUUCUUUUCCCUCUCAGCACAGUGAUAGAAGAGGAAAUGUGAUGAGGAUGUUUUCAGUCUGAGUCCAUGAAUUAACAUCAAUUUUUUUCUUGAAUGUAUGAAGCAGAUGGACCAUUUAAAGUGUGUUUAUUGCAAAGCACAAAAUAAUUCAGGGUGAUUGGUGCAAAUUUUGCAGGUGCAUAAGUAUAAUAAAAAAAAUUAAAGUUGAGUUUAUGUGAAGAUAGAGUAGCAGAUCUGAGGUUACAGACAUACCAGGUGAAAGUAUGAUGCUACUGCCCUUAUACAAAGUGUCACACUAUCAGUAGGCAAACCUGAAGCAGACAUGGCUACUCAUUAAAACCACAUUUACACCACCCAGGUUCAUAUUCCAAACAACAAAGCAGCUUGCAUGAAAAUUUAUGUAAGUCAUACAACUAUGUGACCUGUGUUUGUCUGUUUAAAGGGAUAUUCCGGUGUAUGUUUAAGUUAGGGUCAAACACACCAUAACAACGAGUUAGACACCCCCUCAAGAGAUGAAUGUUGCCGACUGCUUGCCUCUCUAGUUAUGCCAAUUUCAGCAACGACCGCACGAUAGAAAUACACAACGGUCUACGUCUCCACGCGCAAAUGUCAACCAAACGCCACUCUAUAACCACAAAUAAUGCUCGGAACAGCACCUAACUUCAUCAACAGUUCAUAAAGGGUCCCAGCCUUCAAACAUCUUUUUAGCUUUGCAUAAUUUCUUUAGCAAAGAGACUAAACACAACUCAUCCACUCUCCUCUAGCAGCCGCUUGUUUGUAAGGGGGAGCCCUGACGAGUCUAUCGCCGAGUGCAGCAGAAACUUUAUGAUUAUUACUUUAUAGAAAUGCAAUCAGACCAAGACACUUAGGCAGAGGAACUACUGCGUCUGCAGUGCACCGACAAGAUACACAAGAACUCUGAUUGCAUUUCCACGAAGUAAUAAUCAUAAAUGUUCUUCCUUGAGCUGCGAAACUCCACUGCAGUCAGUGAUGGACUCGUCAGGGUUCCCCCACAAAAAAGCGGCUUGUUUGUGACUUUUUCCAGUAUUCCCCCUUAUUCAGAUAUUUCACCAUAAUAGAAGCUGUAAAGUAUCGACAUACCAUUUACCUGAUCCAAAUGAUGUAGAGAUAGUUGAGUUCAUAUUUAAUUCAAUAAAAUUAAAGCAUUUUCUUAAAACUGUCUAACAUUUUGAUACAUAUUUUAAAUAAACCUACAGGAGUUUACACAACCAUAAUUUAACAACAAACGCUGUGCCUCACGGUAAAACACACCACAUAUUUUUUCAUUUGAAAUAGGAUGAGAAAAAGGACAAUAGCAUGAUUUAGAAGAUAGUUACCAUAAACAUCACUGAUCAGAUUUAUUUAUUUAUUUAAUAGCUCCUUAUACAUAAUUAGAAAACACAGUCAUGUAGACACUUUGUACUGUUAUUAUUGUCACAGCAGUGCUUGUCCUUGGAGGUUGAAUAUUACACUUACAAGCAUUUCUCUCUCUCGCAAAAACUUUUAUCAGCCUCCUGACUGUACUCAAUCAAGCACUAGUGAAAUUAUUUGGUUCUUACAAAACCCACAAUUCUGUUUCUGAUCUUCUUCAGUUUAAAACCAUAGAUAAGUGGGUUCAUUAAAGGGGGAAUGACAAGAAACUCUAUUGCAAAAAAGUUUUGGAUGGUUUGUGAUAUAUUUUUAGAACCAAAUCGGAGAUACAUGAUAUCAAAAAGUAAAGUCAGGAGAAAAGUCAGCAGAGAUGUUAAAUGAGGCACACAUGUCUGCAUGAAUUUUGCUCUGUUUUCUAUAGAAUUCACACAAGUUUUGAUAAGAUAGAUGUAGGACCAAAAUAUAAAAACACCAUGAAGAACAUAAAUUACAAUUGAGAUAUAGGCAACUAUGUUAUUAAGAACAGUUUCAGCUGGAAAACAAGCAAGUGUAACAAAAACCCAGUUUAUACAGAAUAAUCUGGAAACACGGUUACUGCAGAGCUUUAACCUUGAUACCAAGUAAAUGUUAGUUGAUAUUACAGCAAAAGGAGUGAUCACAGAGAAACACACCAACUUCACCAGUCUCUGCUUUGACAUGAGGGAGUGGUACUUCAGUGGUCGACAUAUUGCCACAUACCUGUCAUAGGCCAUUACUGCAAGAAUUGAUAGAUCAGCACAGGCAAAUGAGAUCACCACCAGAGAUUGAAUUAAACAUCCAAAAUAAGAGAUAACAUGAACUGGAGACAGCAGAUCCCAGAGAAGCUUUGGGAAGAAACCAGUUGAUCCGUACAGCCCAUUAAAGCAAAAUGCACACAGUAGAAUAUACAUGGGUUCAUGCAGGUUUUUAUCAAUGAUAAUCGUCACAAUGAGAACUAGAUUAACAAACAAAAUUGAACAGUAACAAAGUAAAGUGAGGAUGAAAAUGACGAGGCGAUAUUUCUUUGUCUCAUUAAGACCUGAGAGAAAAAACACUGAAGUGUUAUCCAUUGGGCUAAUUUCUCUCCCCCCCUGUUAAAGGAGGGGAUAACUCAGCCCCAAAUAGUCCCAGCUAUCUCUUCUCACAUUUAUAAAUGUAUUCUCAGAUUACAUCAACUAAAGGAGGGAAUUCAGAUGGACCAAUCAGUAAAGUUUGCGUGUCUGUCACCUGGAUACAAAAAAAUGACUGUUAAAAUUAGUCGAAUUUUGACCGUCUAUGAAAUGUUGUUUGUGUCACAAAUCAGCAGUGAUGGACAAGGUACUAUACUCCAUUACUUUAGUAAAGUAUAUAUACUCCUGGUCAAAUUUUACUUAAUUACAAGUCAAAGUUAUUCAGUCCAAUUCUUGCUUAAGUUAAAGUGCUUGAGUAUGUGCUUUUGAAAAUACACAAAUAUUUAAAGUACAUUUUCAUUGUUAUGUCAGCGUGUUGUUGUGUUGUUGCCACAAUGAAUUUACAGAACACUAGAAAAGCACUCGGAGAGUGCAGACCUCCGCCAAGCAGCUCAUGUCCCCCCUUAUAUUGUGAUUCACAGCAAAACUUUUAGUGUUACGUGUCUUUUAUUAACGUUUAUUUGUGUUUAAACUGGUAUGUUCACUGUUCAUAAAACAAGAAAAGCCCUGACCCGUAUACGAACCCAGGACCUUCUGGUUGUGAGGUGACAGUGCUAACCACUACACCACUGUGCCGCCCAUUGGUUAUCUUUCAGCAUUGAAAAUUCCAAUGACACCCUUAUUUUUGUGUGUUCUGGAUCACAGUAUCCGGAAUUUUGUCUGGAUAAGGAUCAACCUUUGACACCUCAUAAAACUCAUUGAGAUCCUAUUGUGUCAUUUUUUACUAAAGACUCUGGCCAUUUUUAUAGAGUUAAAUGCAAAAAUUCCAAAAUUUGCCCUAUCUCACAAUGAUGAAGAAUCCUUCAAAAAACUCCUGGAUCCAGAAGGCGAUCCUGAUCACCACUAAAAUUUAAUGAGAUCCUCCUGGGGCUGAGGUGCACCUCUGGUGAAAAUUUCAAGUCACUCUGUCAGUUGCUUUCUCCGUAAAGUUGCUAACAGACAAACAAACCAACGCUACUGAAAACAUAACCUCCUUGGCGGAGGUAACAAUGAUGAUAGUCCCUGAGCAAAAUACAGUAUGGUAAAGAUAUAGCCCAGAUUUAGACUUGGUCCAAACUUGGUCUAAAUUUAGAAGUCUAAAAAACCUUUAAUUUUUAGACCUGUGGUAGCCUGAUUUUAGACCAGUCGUCUAGGCUACAUUUAUACGUCAUUUAGACCUCUUUUAGACCAAAGAAUGAUCAGAGGGAAGCUUGAAAAAUAUGCUACGAUGCCUACUGAAAUGCCUUCUGAAACACGAUUGACUCGACAAAAAGACAACCAUACCAUUUUCAUGUUUUUAUUCAACACCCGACAUGCUUCCUCAGGUAUGACAGUGAGUUUUUGUUGGUGAUGAUGAAUUUUGUGCGUGGCAAACAAAGAAAACAUUUACAUGGAUAUGAAUCAUUCUCCAUUUGAACAAUCUCAAACGUGGACUUCAGAUAUGACUGUUGGUGCUCUGGUGUGGAAUUGUCGUCUGUAUCUGCCGUAGCCAUUAUUAGGACUGCAAAAACCAACUGUAAUCGUUAUCUGAGCAAUGUUAGCUCAAAGGUUACAUGCCCAAUCUGAGUAGCACAUGUGUGAGGUAGAGGUACGGCAUCCCCUCUUGGACAAAUCAGACUCUUCAUAGAAAUGUAGUGUAGGUGAAAGUACAAUAUUUGUUGUUCAAAUGGAGUGAAGUAAAAGUCACAAGUUUCAAAAAAUAUACUAGGGCCCCGGUGGGGCACUGUCGGGCCCGAGCCGCGUCGCGCCGCCCCCAGCGCGACCGCCUCCCCCUCCCGAUCGCGUCACACUCAAGGUCCAAAGAUGGUGUGCGCACUUGUCUGUGGUCAUUUCCCAUUAUAAUGAAUGGGAGGCGCAGUUUCUACCAAAACGCUCGCUGCAGACAAACUACAUGUCCUAUUUGAAAAAAGUCUGGACCAUGAGUGAGGGCACAAACACAGCUAGUAUAUAUCCAAAUGGCAAGUUGCUCCUCCUUUCGGUUUUGCAGAGAGAGCGAUGCGUUUGAGCCAUUGAGCGAUGGGCAGGAAAAACUUGACUGUUUCUCCUGCCAUGGGGGGGCGCUCUUUUGGGGAGAAAAAAUUCCUUCACAAAUGUGUUGAUGGCUGGACAUUGCAUCAUCCUAGAAAACUUGGAGGCCAGUGAGGACAAAAAUAAAAAGUUAUAAGACUUUUAAAAAUGUGGAUAUUUGGGUCCUCUUUGGCGCCCCCUAGAACAUAAACUGUGGGGUGCAGCGUCAUGAUUUGUACAACUUUGAAUGGCCAUGGGGUGUAGAUUGACCUGAGCAAAUUUGAAGCCGAUGGGACAAAAGAUUUAGGAGGAGUUAGCGAAAUUCCAAUGUGUGCGGAUCGGCAAAAAAUGCAAAAUAACCCUUUAACCGUACAUUUGACAGAUACGCCCGCACUGACUUUUUUGUAGAUCUUAUUGAGAUACAUGUGUGUGUCAAAUUUUGUGUCAUUUUGACAAAGCGUAAAGGCGUGACAGUCAACAAUGUGUAUUUUCGCCUUAGGAGACAAGAAAAAAUGGACUUUUUUCUCCUGCCAUGGGGUUGGCGCUCUUUUGGCGAGUAAAAAUUCCUUCACAAAUGUGUUGAUGGCUGGACAUUGCAUCAUCCUAGAGAACUUGGAGGCCAGUGAGGACAAAAAUAAAAAGUUAUAAGACUUUUAAGACUGUGGAUUUUUGGGUUAUCUUUGGCGCCCCCUAGAACGUAAACCGUGGGGUGCAGCGUCAUGAUUUGUACAACUUUUAAUGGCCAUGGGGUGUAGAUUGGCCUCAGCAAAUGUGGUGCCUUUGGAACGAAAGCCUUCGGAGGAGUUAGCGAAAUUCCAAUGUGUGCGGAUCGGCAAAAAAUGCGAAAUAGCCCUUUCACCGUACAUUUGACAGAUACGCCCGCACUGACUUUUUUGUAGAUCUUAUUGAGAUACAUGUGUGUGUCAAUUUUUGUGUCAAUAUGACAAAGCGUAAAGGCGUGACAGUCAAUAGUGUGAAUUUUCGCCUUAGGAGACAAGAAAAAAUGGACUUUUUUCUCCUGCCAUGGGGGGGCGCUCUUUUGGGGAGUAAAAAUUCCUUCACAAAUGUGUUGAUGGCUGGACAUUGCAUCAUCCUAGAAAACUUGGAGGCCAGUGAGGACAAAAAUAAAAAGUUAUAAGACUUUUAAGAAUGUGGAUUUCUGGGUUAUCUUUGGCGCCCCCUAGAACGUAAACCGUGGGAUGCAGCGUCAUGAUUUGUACAACUUUUAAUGGCCAUGGGGUGUAGAUUGGCCUGAGCAAAUUUGGUGCCGGUGGAACGAAAGCCUUCGGAGGAGUUAGCGAAAUUCCAAUGUGUGCGGAUCGGCAAAAAAUGCGAAAUAGCCCUUUAACCGUACAUUUGACAGAUACGCCCGCACUGACUUUUUUGUAGAUCUUAUUGAGAUACACGUGUGUGUAAAAUUUUGUGUCAUUUUGACAAAGCGUACAGGCGUGACACUCAAUCAUGUGAAUUUUUCACCUUAGGGGGCGCUAUGGAGCCAUUUUGCAUUUGAUUUUUUGGGCGACUUCAGAAUAUCGAAUUUUUCACCAGGCCCGGUCGUCCUGCCAAAUUUCAUGACUUUUCACCAGUGGGAAGUGGGCCAUUUUCCAGUUCAAAGGGGCAGAAAAAUAAUAACUAGGGCCCCGUUGGGGCACUGGCGGGCCCGAGCCGUGUCGCGCUGCCCCCCCCAAUGCGCUGCCUCCCCGUCCCAUUCGCGUCCUCUCUGGUAACGCCCAUCACUGCAAAGACCCUUUCCUUCAUCGGCGUUUGCUGUUGUUCCUGCCAGUGCGUGUUGCUUUCACUUACACUUGCCACAGCCAGCCUCGUGAGUGCCUAGCCUAUUGGAUAUCACUGUCAUCUACACAGGACAGUCAUAACCUUUCUAUUAAUACUUUGUUUUUUAAUUUCACAUUAAUUUCCAUAUUGUAUAAAUGACUGGAAAAAACUUGAGCCCCUGCCCCUGUAUAAUCAUGUGCACGUCCCUGUUCUAGCUCCAAGGUGAAUCUUCACUGCUCAUGUUCUCCUCAGAAAUAGUCACCUCACUCCCCUCAGGUUACUGUACACAUGCACCAACUAUCUGCUUCAGGUUUGGAUGGAGCUUCAUGGUUGUCUUUUGGAGAAAUGACCAGUCAAGUUGUGUUUGAAAUUUGAUUUUUUUCAGGGGCAAAAGGAAGCCUCUGCAUUCUUGUCAAAUAUGUAAACAGCAUGUUUUUGCAGGUGCUAAAAAACAGACUCUGAGUGUGUGUGUGUGUGUGUGUGUGUGUGUGUGUGUGUGUGUGUGUGUGUGUGUGUGUGUGUGUGUGUGUGUGUGUGUGUUGGCGUGUGUGUAUAUGUGUGUGUAUCCUGCAGUACUCUGUACUCCUGCAGUGGCCAAAAAGACUUUUAAGAAUGUGGAUUUUUGGGUCAUCUUUGGCGCCCCCUAGAACUGCAGUACUCUGUACUCCUGCAGUGGCCAAAAUGACUUUUAAGAAUGUGGAUUUUUGGGUCAUAUUUGGCGCCCCCUAGAACGUAAACCGUGGGGUGCAGCGUCAUGAUUUUUACAACUUUGAAUGGCCAUGGGGUGUAGAUUGCCCUGAGCAAAUUUGGUAUCAGUGGGACGAAAGCCUUAGGAGGAGAUAGCCACAUUCCAAUAUGUGCGAAUCGGCAAAAAAUGCGAAAUAGCCCUUUAACCGUACAUUAUACAGAUACGCGCUCUUUGACUUUUUCGUAGAUCUAAUUGAGAUACACAUGAUUGUCAAUUUUUGUGUCAAUAUGACAAAGCGUUCAGGCGUGACACUCAACAAUGUGUAUUUUCAUGUAAGGGGACAAGAAAAAAUUGACUUUUUUCUCCUGCCAUGGGGGGGCGCUCUUUUGGGGAGUAAAAAUUCCUUCACAAAUGUGUUGAUGGCUGGACAUUGCAUCAUCCUAGAAAACUUGGAGGCCAGUGAGGACAAAAAUAAAAAGUUAUAAGACUUUUAAGAAUGUGGAUUUUUGGGUUAUCUUUGGCGCCCCCUAGAACCUAAACCGUGGGGUGCAGCGUCAUGAUUUGUACAACUUUUAAUGGCCAUGGGGUGUAGACUGGCCUGAGCAAAUGUGGUGCCAGUGGAACGAAAGCCUUCGGAGGAGUUAGCGAAAUUCCAAUGUGUGCGGAUCGGCAAAAAAUGCGAAAUAACCCUUUAACCGUACAUUUGACAGAUACGCCCGCACUGACUUUUUUGUAGAUCUUAUUGAGAUACAUAUGUGUGUCAAUUUUUGUGUCAAUAUGACAAAACGUACAGACGUGACAGUCAAUAGUGUGAAUUUCCACCUUAGGGGGCGCUAUGGAGCCAUUUUGCAUUUUAUUGUUUGGGCGACUUCAGAAUAUCGAAUUUUUCACCAGGCCCGGUCGUCCUGCCAAAUUUCAUGAGUUUUCGCCAGUGGGAAGUGGGCCAUUUUCCAGUUUAAAGCGGAGGAAAAAUAAUAAUAAUAACUAGGGCCCCGUUGGGGCACUGGCGGGCCCGAGCUGUGUCGCCCCCCCCCCCCCCCCCCCGCGCUGCCUCCCCGUCCCAUUCGCGUCCUCUGGCCAUCGUCCUCUCUGGUAACACCCAUCACUGCAAAGACCCUUUUCCUUCAUCGGCGUUUGCUGUUCUUCCUGCCAGUGCGUGUUGCUUUCACUUACACUUGCCACAGCCAGCCUCGUGAGUGCCUAGCCUAUUGGAUAUCACUGUCACCUACACAGGACAGUCAUUACCUUUCUAUUAAUACUUUGUUUUUUAAUUUCACAUUAAUUUCCAUAUUGUAUAAACGACUGGAAAAAACUUGAGCCCCUGCCCCCGUAUAAUCAUGUGCACGUCCCUGUUCUCGCUCCAAGGUGAAUCUUCACUGCUCAUGUUCUCCUCAGAAGCAGUCACCUCACUCCCCUCAGGUUACUGUACACAUGCACCAACUGCCUGCUUCAGGUUUGGAUGGAGCUUCAUGGUUGUCUUUUGGAGAAAUGAGCAGUCAAGUUGUGUUAGAAAUUUGAUUUUUUUCAGGGGCAAAAGGAAGCCUCUGCAUUGUUGUCAAAUAUGUAAAUAGCAUGUUUUUGCAGGUGCUAAAAAACAGACUCUGAGUGUGUGUGUGUGUGUCUGUGUGUGUGUGUGUGUGUGUGUGUGUCUGUGUGUGUGUGUGUCUGUGUGUGUGUAUCCUGCAGUACUCUGUACUCCUGCAGUGGCCAAAACGACUUUUAAGAAUGUGGAUAUUUGGGUCAUCUUUGGCGCCCCCUAGAACGUAAACCAUGGGGUGCAGCGGCAUGAUUUUUACAACUUUGAAUGGCCAUGGGGUGUAGAUUGGCCUGAGCAAAUUUGGUGUCAGUGGGACGAAAGCCUUAGGAGGAGUUAGCCACAUUCCAAUGUGUGCGAAUCGGCAAAAAAUGCAAAAUAGCCCUUUAGCCGUACAUUUUACAGAUACGCGCCCAUUGACUUUUUCGUAGAUCUUAUUGAGAUACACGUGUGUGUCAAAUUUUUUGUCAAUACGACAAAGCGUACAGGCGUGACACUCAACAAUGUGUAUUUUUACCUUAGGGGACAAGAAAAAAUGGACUUUUUAUUCCUGCCAUGGGGGGGCGCUCUUUUGGGGAGUAAAAAUUCCUUCACAAAUGUGUUGAUGGCUGGACAUUGCAUCAUCCUAGAAAACUUGGAGGCCAGUGAGGACAAAAAAAAAAAUUUAUAAAACUUUUAAGAAUGUGGAUUUUUGGGUUAUUUUUGGCGCCCCCUAGAACCUAAACCAUGGGGUGCAGCAUUAUGAUUUGUACAACUUUGAAUGGCCAUGGAGUGUAGAUUGGCCUGAGCAAAUGUGGUGCCGGUGGAACGAAAGCCUUCGGAGGAGUUAGCGAAAUUCCAAUGUGUGCGGAUCUGCAAAAAAUGCAAAAUAACCCUUUAACCGUACAUUUGACAGAUACGCCCGCACUGACUUUUUUGUAGAUCUUAUUGAGAUACAUGUGUGUGUCAAUUUUUGUGUCAAUAUGACAAAGCGUACAGGCGUGACAGUCAAUAGUGUGAAUUUUCACCUUAGGGGGCGCUAUGGAGCCAUUUUGCAUUUUCUUGUUUGGGCGACUUCAGAAUAUCGAAUUUUUCACCAGGCCCGGUCGUCCUGCCAAAUUUCAUGAGUUUUCGCCAGUGGGAAGUGGGCCAUUUUCCAGUUUAAAGCGGAGGAAAAAUAAUAAUAAUAACAAACUAGGGCCCCGUUGGGGCACUGGCGGGCCCGAGCCGUGUCGCGCCACCCCCAACACGACCGCCUCUCCCUACCGAUCGCGUCACACUCAAGGUCCAAAGAUGGUGUGCCCACUUGUCUGUGGUCAUUUACAAUUAUAAUGAAUGGGAGGCGCAGUUUCUACCAAAACGCUCGCCGCAGACAAACUACAUGUCCUAUUUGAAAAGGACUGGACCAUGAGUGAGGGCACAAACACAGCUGGGAUAUAUCCAAAUGGCAAGUUGCUCCUCCUUUCGGUUUUGCCGAGAGAGUGAUGUGUUUGAGUCAUUGAGCGAUGGGCAGGAAAAACUUGACUUUUUCUCCUGCCAUGGGGGGCGCUCUUUUAGGGAGUAAAAAUUCCUUCACAAAUGUGUUGAUGGCUAGACAUUGCAUCAUCCUAGAAAACUUGGAGGCCAGUGAGGACAAAAAUAAAAAGUUAUAAGACAUUUAAGAAUGUGGAUUUUUGGGUUAUCUUUGGCGCCCCCUAGAACAUAAACCGUGGGGUGCAGCGUCAUGAUUUUUACAACUUUGAAUGGCCAUGGGGUGUAGAUUGGCCUGAGUAAAUUUGGUGUCAGUGGAACGAAAGCUUUAGGAGGAGUUAGCCACAUUCCAAUGUGUGCGAAUCGACCAAAAAUGCGAAAUAGCCCUUUAACCGUACAUUUUACAGAUACGCGCCCAUUGACUAUUUCGUAGAUCUUAUUGAGAAACACGUGAUUGUUAAAGUUUGUUUCAAUAUGACAAAGCAUACAGGCGUGACACUCAAUAAUGUGAAUUUUCACCUUAGGGGGGAAGAAAAACUGGACUUUUUUCUCCUGCCAUGGGGGGGCGCUCUUUUGGGGAGUAAAAAUUCCUUCACAAAUGUGUUGAUGGCUAGACAUUGCAUCAUCCUAGAAAACUUGGAGGCCAGUGAGGACAAAAAUAAAAAGUUAUACGACUUUUAAGAAUGUGGAUUUUUGGGUUAUCUUUGGCGCCCCCUAAAACGUAAACCGUGGGGUGCAGCGUCAUGAUUUUUACAACUUUUAAUGGCCAUGGGGUGUAGAUUGGCCUGAGCAAAUUUGGUGCCGGUGGAACGAAAGCCUUCGGAGGAGUUAGCGAAAUUCCAAUGUGUGCGGAUCGGCAAAAAAUGCGAAAUAGCCCUUUAACCGUACAUUUGACAGAUACGCCCACACUGACUUUUUUGUAGAUCUUAUUGAGAUACACCUGUGUGUCAAAUUUUGUGUCAUUUUGACAAAGCGUACAGGCGUGACACUCAAUCAUGUGAAUUUUUCACCUUAGGGGGCGCUAUGGAGCCAUUUUGCAUUUGAUUUUUUGGGCGACUUCAGAAUAUCGAAUUUUUCACCAGGCCCGGUCGUCCUGCCAAAUUUCAUGACUUUUCACCAGUGGGAAGUGGGCCAUUUUCCAGUUCAAAGGGGCAGAAAAAUAAUAAGAAGAAGACUAGGGCCCCGUUGGGGCACUGGCGGGCCCGAGCAGUGUCGCGCCGCCCCCAACACGACCGCCUCUCCCUACCGAUCGCGUCACACUCAAGGUCCAAAGAUGGUGUGCGCACUUGUCUGUGGUCAUUUACAAUUAUAAUGAAUGGGAGGCGCAGUUUCUACCAAAACGCUCGCCGCAGACAAACUACAUGUCCUAUUUGAAAAGGACUGGACCAUGAGUGAGGGCACAACCAUGCCAUGGGGGUUGGGGGAUGGGGGGGGGGGGGGGGAAUGUGGAUUCUUUUAAGAAUGUGGAUAUUUGGGUCAUCUUUGGCGCCCCCUAGAACGUAAACCGUGGGGUGCAGCGUCAUGAUUUUGAUAACUUUGAAUGGCCACGGGGUGUAGAUUGGCCUGAGCAAAUGUGGUGCCGGUGGAACGAAAGCCUUCGGAGGAGUUAGCGAAAUUCCAAUGUGUGCAAAUCGGCAAAAAAUGCAAAAUAGCCCUUUAACCGUACAUUUUACAGAUACGCGCGCAUUGACUUUUUCGUAGAUCUUAUUGAGAUACAUGUGAUUGUCAAAUUUUGUGUCAAUAUGACAAAGCGUACAGGUAUGACAGUCAACAAUGUGUUUUUUCACCUUAUGGGACAAGAAAAAAUGGACUUUUUUCUCCUGCCAUGGGGGGGCGCUCUUUUGGGGAGUAAAAAUUCCUUCACAAAUGUGUUGAUGGCUGGACAUUGCAUCAUCCUAGAAAACUUGGAGGCCAGUGAGGACAAAAAUAAAAAGUUAUAAGACUUUUAAAUAUGUGGAUUUUAGGGUUGUCUUUGGCGCCCCCUAGAACCUAAACCGUGGGGUGCAGCGUCAUGAUUUGAAUAACUUUUAAUGGCCAUGGGGUGUAGAUUGGCCUGAGCAAAUGUGGUGCCGGUGGAACGAAAGCCUUCGGAGGAGUUAGCGAAAUUCCAAUGUGUGCGGAUCGGCAAAAAAUGCGGAAUAACCCUUUAACCGUACAUUUGACAGAUACGCCCGCACUGACUUUUUUGUAGAUCUUAUUGAGAUACAUGUGUGUGUCAAUUUUUGUGUCAAUAUGACAAAGCGUAAAGGCGUGACAGUCAAUAGUGUGAAUUUUCACCUUAGGGGGCGCUAUGGAGCCAUUUUGCAUUUUCUUGUUUGGGCGACUUCGGAAUAUCAAAUUUUUCACCAGGCCCGGUCAUCCUGCCAAAUUUCAUGAGUUUUCGCCAGUGGGAAGUGGGCCAUUUUCCAGUUCAAAGGGGAGGAAAAAGAAGAAAGAAAGAAACAAAGAAAAACCACUUGGGGAAUAAUAGGGCUCUCGCAGCUGCUUAGCAGCUACGCUCGGGCCCUAAAGAAGAAUCCAUCAGGAACAAGAGGGCUCUCGCAGCUGCUUAGCAGCUACGCUCGGGCCCUAACUAGGACCCCGUUGGGGCACUGGCGGGCCCGAGCCAGUUUUUAAAUUGUGUUGAUAGGCCAAAUAAAACCAGAGUUAUGAUAAAUUAUGUCCGCGAUACUUUUUUUCUGCUUAUUUUGAUCACGUUCGGCGCUCGAUCGCGCUGUAUGAGACAGGAAAACAUAGCAUGCAGACAUUAGUGACAGGUCUUACAGGCGGAAAAGGCUUGCCAAAAGAAAAAAAAAAACACACCACAACAUCUCUCCUAUUGGUGGAAAACUUCACCACAACAACCAAUCCAAAAUUAUAUGGUGACUGAUUGACAAGGGGCGGGCGCUUACGUUCUUCCUGCAACAUGAGAAGGGAGGGAGGGACUCUCAGCAGGGAUGCAGUCUGGGACACGUAGUUGCAAACCUAGCGACUUUGUUGUUAGAUUCAAUGACUUUUCAGACCCCCUAACGACUUUUUUUUAGAAAGAAAGGGACUUUUAUCGACUUCUGGAGUUUAGAGACUCUGACAUGAAGCAGGCUUUCCUUACUGAGGAGUUAGCAACGCUGCUAAGGGUGCAGAGCCACACAUGCACUCAGAGCUCUGCAUGGGAGACUGAAGCUGACAGAGCUGCAGCAGUUAGCAGGUUUCACCCUCAGAGACCACCAGGGGUUCAUGUUGAGGCAUUUUAAAAUUUUUUUUUUUUGUGCCAUAGACACUGUCAGCACAAUCUGCAGUUACACUAACAAAAAUGCUGCAAAAAACAAAGAAUUAUGGAAAAAUUACACAUGGACUGACAUAGAGGAGGAUCUACACAAGUUUUUUACAUCAUGUUUUACAUCAUGCAUCAUUUACAUCAUGUUUUUUUGUAGUGGCAUAAAUAAAAAGUGACAUUUGUGAGACUAUACAGUGUUUUGUAAAUAAUUUUACAAAGAACGCCUGGGCCAUUGCCUGCAUUUUGAUGUAAAUAGAGGUAAAUUACUAUGUUCUUUGUUAAAAAUUUGCAUAUGUUUUGAAGUUUACAAUUUUUAUUUGAAGUUUAAGUUUUAAAAACAGUUCAUCACACAUAUUUGUGGUUUAAUUUCACAUUAAUUUCCAUAUUGUAUAAAUGACUGGAAAAAACUUGAGCCCCUGCCCCUGUAUAAUCAUGUGCACGUCCCUGUUCUAGCUCCAAGGUGAAUCUUCACUGCUCAUGUUCUCCUCAGAAAUAGUCACCUCACUCCCCUCAGGUUACUGUACACAUGCACCAACUAUUUGCUUCAGGUUUGAAAUGGAGCUUCAUGGUUGUCUUUUGGAGAAAUGAACAGUCAAGUUGUGUUUGAAAUUUGAUUUUUUUCAGGGGCAAAAGGAAGCCUCUGCAUUCUUGUCAAAUAUGUAAACAGCAUGUUUUUGAAGGUGAUAAAAAACAGACUCUGAGUGUGUGUGUGUGUGUCUGUGUGUGUGUGUGUGUAUGUUGGCGUGUGUGUAUAUGUGUGUGUAUCCUGCAGUACUCUGUACUCCUGCAGUGGCCAAAAAGACUUUUAAGAAUGUGGAUUUUUGGGUCAUCUUUGGCGCCCCCUAGAACUGCAGUACUCUGUACUCCUGCAGUGGCCAAAAAGACUUUUAAGAAUGUGGAUUUUUGGGUCAUCUUUGGCGCCCCCUAGAACGUAAACCGUGGGGUGCAGCGUCAUGAUUUUUACAAUUUUGAAUGGGCAUGGGGUGUAGAUUGCCCUGAGCAAAUUUGGUAUCGGUGGGACGAAAGCCUUAGGAGGAGAUAGCCACAUUCCAAUGUGUGCGAAUCGGCAAAAAAUGCAAAAUAGCCCUUUAACCGUACAUUAUACAGAUACGCGCUCUUUGACUUUUUCGUAGAUCUUAUUGAGAUACACGUGUGUGUCAAAUUUUGUGUCAUUUUGACAAAGCGUAUAGGCGUGACAGUCAACAAUGUGUUUUUUCACCUUAGGGGACAAGAAAAAAUUGACUUUUUUCUCCUGCCAUGGGGGGCGCUCUUUUCGGGAGUAAAAAUUCCUUUACAAAUGUGUUGAUGGCUGGACAUUGCAUCAUCCUAGAAAACUUAGAGGCCAGUGAGGACAAAACUAAAAAGUUAUAAGACUAUUAAGAAUGUGGAUUUUUGGGUUAUCUUUGGCGCCCCCUAGAACCUAAACCGUGGAGGGCAGCAUCAUGAUUUGUACAACUUUUAAUGGCCAUGGGGUGUAGAUUAGCCUGAGCAAAUUUGGUGCCGGUAGAAAGAUAGCCUUCGGAGGAGUUAGCGAAAUUCCAAUGUGUGCGAAUCGGCAAAAAAUGCAAAAUAGCCCUUUAACCGUACAUUUGACAGAUAUGUGCCCUUUGACUUUUUCGUAGAUCUUAUUGAGAUACACGUUAUUGUCAAAUUUUGUGUCAAUAUGACAAAGGGUACAGGGGUGACACUCAAAAAUGUGUAUUUUCACCUUACGGGACAAGAAAAAAUGGACUUUUUUCUCCUGCCAUGGGGGGGCGCUCUUUUGGGGAGUAAAAAUUUGUUCACAGAUGUGUUGAUGGCUGGACAUUGCAUCAUCCUAGAAAACUUGGAGGCCAGUUUGGAGAAAAAUAAAAAGUUAUAAGACUUUUAACACUUUGGAUUUUUGGGUUAUCUUUGGCGCCCCCUAGAACCUAAACCGUGGGGUGCAGCAAGAUGAUUUGUACAACUUUUAAUGGCCAUGGGGGGUAGAUUGGCCUGCGCAAAUGUGGUGCCGGUGGAACGAAAGCCUUCGGAGGAGUUAGCGAAAUUCCAAUGUGUGCAGAUCUGCAAAAAAUGCGAAAUAACCCUUUAACCGUACAUUUGACAGAUACGCCCGCACUGACUUUUUUGUAGAUCUUAUUGAGAUACAUGUGUGUGUCAAUUUUUGUGUCAUUUUGACAAAGCGUACAGCCCGCAUGUGAAUUUUCACCUUAGGGGGCGCUAUGGAGCCAUUUUGCAUUUUAUUGUUUGGGCGACUUCAGAAUAUCGAAUUUUUCACCAGGCCCGGUCGUCCUGCCAAAUUUCAUGAGUUUUCGCCAGUGGGAAGUGGGCCAUUUUCCAGUUUAAAGCGGAGGAAAAAUAACGAAAGAAGAAUCCAUCAGGAACAAGAGGGCUCUCGCAGCUGCUUAGCAGCUACGCUCGGGCCCUAAUAAGAAGACUAGGGCCCCGUUGGGGCACUGGCGGGCCCGAGCCGUGUUGUGCCGCCCCCAUCGCGACCGCCCCCCCUUCCGAUCGCCUCACACUCAAGGUCCAAAGAUGGUGUGCGCACUUGUCUGUGGUCAUUUACCAUUAUAAUGAAUGGGAGGCGCAGUUUCUACCAAAAUGCUCGCUGCAGAAAAACUCCAUGUCCUUUUUGAAAAAAGUCUGGACCAUGAGUGAGGGCACAAACACAGCUAGGAUAUAUCCAAAUGGCAAGUUGCUCCUCCUUUCGGUUUUGCCGAGAGAGCGAUGCGUUUGAGCCAUUGAGCGAUGGGCAGGAAAACCUUGACUUUUUCUCCUGCCAUGGGGGGGCGCUCUUUUGGGGAGUAAAAAUUCCUUCACAAUUGUGUUAAUGGCUGAACAUUGCAUUAUCCUAGAAAACUUGGAGGCCAGUGAGGACAAAAAUAAAAAGUUAUAAGACUUUUGAAAAUGUGGAUUUUUGGGUUAUCUUUGGCGCCCCCUAGAACGUAAACCGUUGGGUGCAGCAUCAUGAUUUUUACAACUUUGAAUGGCCAUGGGGUGUAGAUUGGCCUGAGCACAUUUGGUGUUGAUGGGACGAAAGCUUUAGGAGGAGUUAGCCACAUUCCAAUGUGUGCGAAUUGGCAAAAAAUGCGAAAUAGCCCUUUAACCGUACAUUUGACAGAUACGCCCGCAUUGACUUUUUCGUAGAUCUUAUUGAGAUACACGUGAUUGUCAAAUUUUGUGUCAAUAUGACAAAGCGUACAGGUGUGACACUCAACAAUGUGUAUUUUCACCUUAGGGGACAAGAAAAAAUGGCCUUUUUUCUCCUGCCAUGGGGGGGCGCUCUUUUGGGGAGUAAAAAUUCCUCCACAAAUGUGUUGAUGGCUGGACAUUGCAUCAUCCUAGAGAACUUCAAGGCCAGUGGGGACAAAAAUAAAAAGUUAUAAGACUUUUAAGAAUGUGGAUUUUUGGGUCAUCUUUGGCGCCCCCUAGAACCUAAACCGCGGGGUGCAGCGUCAUGAUUUGUACAACUUUUAAUGGCCAUGGGGUGUAGAUUGACCUGAGCAAAUGUGGUGCCAGUGGAACAAAAGCCUUCGGAGGAGUUAGCGAAAUUCCAAUGUGUGCGGAUCGGCAAAAAAUGCGAAAUAAACCUUUAACCGUACAUUUGACAGAUACGCCCGCGCUGAUUUUUUCGUAGAUCUUAUUGAGAUACAUAUGUGUGUCAAAUUUUGUGUCAUUUUGACAAAGCGUACAGGCGUGACAGUCAAUGGUGUGAAUUUUCACCUUUGGGGGCGCUAUGGAGCCAUUUUGCAUUUUAUUGUUUAGGCGACUUCAGAAUAUCGAAUUUUUCACCAGGCCCGGUCGUCCUGCCAAAUUUCAUGAGUUUUCGCCAGUGGGAAGUGAGUUUUUUCCAGUUCAAAGGGGAGGAAAAAUAAGAAGAAAGAAAGAAAGAAAGAAAGAAGAAAGAAAAACCGAUACAGGAACAAUAGGGCUCUCGCAGCUGCUUAGCAGCUACGCUCGGGCCCUAACUAGGACCCCGUUGGGGCACUGGCGGGCCCGAGCUGUGUCGCGUCCCCCCCCCCAACGCGCUGCCUCCCCGUCCCAUUUGUUUCCUCUGGCCAUCGCCCUCUCUGGUAACGCCCAUCACUGCAAAGACCCUUUUCCUUCAUCGGCGUUUGCUGUUCUUCCUGCCAGUGCGUGUUGCUUUCACUUACACUUGCCACAGCCAGCCUCGUGAGUGCCUAGCCUAUUGGAUAUCACUGUCAUCUACACAGGACAGUCAUAACCUUUCUAUUAAUACUUUGUUUUUUAAUUUCACAUUAAUUUCCAUAUUGUAUAAAUGACUGGAAAAAACUUGAGCCCCUGCCCCUGUAUAAUCAUGUGCACGUCCCUGUUCUAGCUCCAAGGUGAAUCUUCACUGCUCAUGUUCUCCUCAGAAAUAGUCACCUCACUCCCCUCAGGUUACUGUACACAUGCACCAACUAUUUGCUUCAGGUUUGAAAUGGAGCUUCAUGGUUGUCUUUUGGAGAAAUGAACAGUCAAGUUGUGUUUGAAAUUUGAUUUUUUUCAGGGGCAAAAGGAAGCCUCUGCAUUCUUGUCAAAUAUGUAAACAGCAUGUUUUUGAAGGUGAUAAAAAACAGACUCUGAGUGUGUGUGUGUGUGUCUGUGUGUGUGUGUGUGUAUGUUGGCGUGUGUGUAUAUGUGUGUGUAUCCUGCAGUACUCUGUACUCCUGCAGUGGCCAAAAAGACUUUUAAGAAUGUGGAUUUUUGGGUCAUCUUUGGCGCCCCCUAGAACUGCAGUACUCUGUACUCCUGCAGUGGCCAAAAAGACUUUUAAGAAUGUGGAUUUUUGGGUCAUCUUUGGCGCCCCCUAGAACGUAAACCGUGGGGUGCAGCGUCAUGAUUUUUACAAUUUUGAAUGGGCAUGGGGUGUAGAUUGCCCUGAGCAAAUUUGGUAUCGGUGGGACGAAAGCCUUAGGAGGAGAUAGCCACAUUCCAAUGUGUGCGAAUCGGCAAAAAAUGCAAAAUAGCCCUUUAACCGUACAUUAUACAGAUACGCGCUCUUUGACUUUUUCGUAGAUCUUAUUGAGAUACACGUGUGUGUCAAAUUUUGUGUCAUUUUGACAAAGCGUAUAGGCGUGACAGUCAACAAUGUGUUUUUUCACCUUAGGGGACAAGAAAAAAUUGACUUUUUUCUCCUGCCAUGGGGGGGCGCUCUUUUCGGGAGUAAAAAUUCCUUUACAAAUGUGUUGAUGGCUGGACAUUGCAUCAUCCUAGAAAACUUAGAGGCCAGUGAGGACAAAACUAAAAAGUUAUAAGACUAUUAAGAAUGUGGAUUUUUGGGUUAUCUUUGGCGCCCCCUAGAACCUAAACCGUGGAGGGCAGCAUCAUGAUUUGUACAACUUUUAAUGGCCAUGGGGUGUAGAUUAGCCUGAGCAAAUUUGGUGCCGGUAGAAAGAUAGCCUUCGGAGGAGUUAGCGAAAUUCCAAUGUGUGCGAAUCGGCAAAAAAUGCAAAAUAGCCCUUUAACCGUACAUUUGACAGAUAUGUGCCCUUUGACUUUUUCGUAGAUCUUAUUGAGAUACACGUUAUUGUCAAAUUUUGUGUCAAUAUGACAAAGGGUACAGGGGUGACACUCAAAAAUGUGUAUUUUCACCUUACGGGACAAGAAAAAAUGGACUUUUUUCUCCUGCCAUGGGGGGCGCUCUUUUGGGGAGUAAAAAUUUGUUCACAGAUGUGUUGAUGGCUGGACAUUGCAUCAUCCUAGAAAACUUGGAGGCCAGUUUGGAGAAAAAUAAAAAGUUAUAAGACUUUUAACACUUUGGAUUUUUGGGUUAUCUUUGGCGCCCCCUAGAACCUAAACCGUGGGGUGCAGCAAGAUGAUUUGUACAACUUUUAAUGGCCAUGGGGGGUAGAUUGGCCUGCGCAAAUGUGGUGCCGGUGGAACGAAAGCCUUCGGAGGAGUUAGCGAAAUUCCAAUGUGUGCAGAUCUGCAAAAAAUGCGAAAUAACCCUUUAACCGUACAUUUGACAGAUACGCCCGCACUGACUUUUUUGUAGAUCUUAUUGAGAUACAUGUGUGUGUCAAUUUUUGUGUCAUUUUGACAAAGCGUACAGCCCGCAUGUGAAUUUUCACCUUAGGGGGCGCUAUGGAGCCAUUUUGCAUUUUAUUGUUUGGGCGACUUCAGAAUAUCGAAUUUUUCACCAGGCCCGGUCGUCCUGCCAAAUUUCAUGAGUUUUCGCCAGUGGGAAGUGGGCCAUUUUCCAGUUUAAAGCGGAGGAAAAAUAACGAAAGAAGAAUCCAUCAGGAACAAGAGGGCUCUCGCAGCUGCUUAGCAGCUACGCUCGGGCCCUAAUAAGAAGACUAGGGCCCCGUUGGGGCACUGGCGGGCCCGAGCCGUGUUGUGCCGCCCCCAUCGCGACCGCCCCCCUUCCGAUCGCCUCACACUCAAGGUCCAAAGAUGGUGUGCGCACUUGUCUGUGGUCAUUUACCAUUAUAAUGAAUGGGAGGCGCAGUUUCUACCAAAAUGCUCGCUGCAGAAAAACUCCAUGUCCUUUUUGAAAAAAGUCUGGACCAUGAGUGAGGGCACAAACACAGCUAGGAUAUAUCCAAAUGGCAAGUUGCUCCUCCUUUCGGUUUUGCCGAGAGAGCGAUGCGUUUGAGCCAUUGAGCGAUGGGCAGGAAAACCUUGACUUUUUCUCCUGCCAUGGGGGGCGCUCUUUUGGGGAGUAAAAAUUCCUUCACAAUUGUGUUAAUGGCUGAACAUUGCAUUAUCCUAGAAAACUUGGAGGCCAGUGAGGACAAAAAUAAAAAGUUAUAAGACUUUUGAAAAUGUGGAUUUUUGGGUUAUCUUUGGCGCCCCCUAGAACGUAAACCGUUGGGUGCAGCAUCAUGAUUUUUACAACUUUGAAUGGCCAUGGGGUGUAGAUUGGCCUGAGCACAUUUGGUGUUGAUGGGACGAAAGCUUUAGGAGGAGUUAGCCACAUUCCAAUGUGUGCGAAUUGGCAAAAAAUGCGAAAUAGCCCUUUAACCGUACAUUUGACAGAUACGCCCGCAUUGACUUUUUCGUAGAUCUUAUUGAGAUACACGUGAUUGUCAAAUUUUGUGUCAAUAUGACAAAGCGUACAGGUGUGACACUCAACAAUGUGUAUUUUCACCUUAGGGGACAAGAAAAAAUGGCCUUUUUUCUCCUGCCAUGGGGGGGCGCUCUUUUGGGGAGUAAAAAUUCCUCCACAAAUGUGUUGAUGGCUGGACAUUGCAUCAUCCUAGAGAACUUCAAGGCCAGUGGGGACAAAAAUAAAAAGUUAUAAGACUUUUAAGAAUGUGGAUUUUUGGGUCAUCUUUGGCGCCCCCUAGAACCUAAACCGCGGGGUGCAGCGUCAUGAUUUGUACAACUUUUAAUGGCCAUGGGGUGUAGAUUGACCUGAGCAAAUGUGGUGCCAGUGGAACAAAAGCCUUCGGAGGAGUUAGCGAAAUUCCAAUGUGUGCGGAUCGGCAAAAAAUGCGAAAUAAACCUUUAACCGUACAUUUGACAGAUACGCCCGCGCUGAUUUUUUCGUAGAUCUUAUUGAGAUACAUAUGUGUGUCAAAUUUUGUGUCAUUUUGACAAAGCGUACAGGCGUGACAGUCAAUGGUGUGAAUUUUCACCUUUGGGGGCGCUAUGGAGCCAUUUUGCAUUUUAUUGUUUAGGCGACUUCAGAAUAUCGAAUUUUUCACCAGGCCCGGUCGUCCUGCCAAAUUUCAUGAGUUUUCGCCAGUGGGAAGUGAGUUUUUUUCCAGUUCAAAGGGGAGGAAAAAUAAGAAGAAAGAAAGAAAGAAAGAAAGAAGAAAGAAAAACCGAUACAGGAACAAUAGGGCUCUCGCAGCUGCUUAGCAGCUACGCUCGGGCCCUAACUAGGACCCCGUUGGGGCACUGGCGGGCCCGAGCUGUGUCGCGUCCCCCCCCCCAACGCGCUGCCUCCCCGUCCCAUUUGUUUCCUCUGGCCAUCGCCCUCUCUGGUAACGCCCAUCACUGCAAAGACCCUUUUCCUUCAUCGGCGUUUGCUGUUCUUCCUGCCAGUGCGUGUUGCUUUCACUUACACUUGCCACAGCCAGCCUCGUGAGUGCCUAGCCUAUUGGAUAUCACUGUCAUCUACACAGGACAGUCAUAACCUUUCUAUUAAUACUUUGUUUUUUAAUUUCACAUUAAUUUCCAUAUUGUAUAAAUGACUGGAAAAAACUUGAGCCCCUGCCCCUGUAUAAUCAUGUGCACGUCCCUGUUCUCGCUCCAAGGUGAAUCUUCACUGCUCAUGUUCUCCUCAGAAAUAGUCACCUCACUCCCCUCAGGUUACUGUACACAUGCACCAACUAUCUGCUUCAGGUUUGGAUGGAACUUCAUGGUUGUCUUUUGGAGAAAUGACCAGUCAAGUUGUGUUUGAAAUUUGAUUUUUUUCAGGGGCAAAAGGAAGCCUCUGCAUUCUUGUCAAAUAUGUAAACAGCAUGUUUUUGCAGGUGCUAAAAAACAGACUCUGAGUGUGUGUGUGUGUGUGUGUGUGUGUGUGUGUGUGUGUGUGUGUGUGUGUGUGUGUGUUGGCGUGUGUGUAUAUGUGUGUGUAUCCUGCAGUACUCUGUACUCCUGCAGUGGCCAUAAAGACUUUUAAGAAUGUGGAUUUUUGGGUCAUCUUUGGCGCCCCCUAGAACUGCAGUACUCUGUACUCCUGCAGUGGCCAAAAUGACUUUUAAGAAUGUGGAUUUUUGGGUCAUCUUUGGCGCCCCCUAGAACGUAAACCGUGGGGUGCAGCGUCAUGAUUUUUACAACUUUGAAUGGGCAUGGGGUGUAGAUUGCCCUGAGCAAAUUUGGUAUCAGUGGGACGAAAGCCUUAGGAGGAGAUAGCCACAUUCCAAUGUGUGCGAAUCGGCAAAAAAUGCGAAAUAGCCCUUUAACCGUACAUUAUACAGAUACGCGCUCUUUGACUUUUUCGUAGAUCUAAUUGAGAUACACAUGAUUGUCAAUUUUUGUGUCAAUAUGACAAAGCGUUCAGGCGUGACACUCAACAAUGUGUAUUUUCAUGUAAGGGGACAAGAAAAAAUUGACUUUUUUCUCCUGCCAUGGGGGGGCGCUCUUUUGGGGAGUAAAAAUUCCUUCAAAAAUGUGUUGAUGGCUGGACAUUGCAUCAUCCUAGAAAACUUGGAGGGCAGUGAGGACAAAAAUAAAAAGUUAUAAGACUUUUAAGAAUGUGGAUUUUUGGGUUAUCUUUGGCGCCCCCUAGAACCUAAACCGUGGGGUGCAGCGUCAUGAUUUGUACAACUUUUAAUGGCCAUGGGGUGUAGACUGGCCUGAGCAAAUGUGGUGCCGGUGGAACGAAAGCCUUCGGAGGAGUUAGCGAAAUUCCAAUGUGUGCGGAUCGGCAAAAAAUGCGAAAUAACCCUUUAACCGUACAUUUGACAGAUACGCCCGCACUGACUUUUUUGUAGAUCUUAUUGAGAUACAUAUGUGUGUCAAUUUUUGUGUCAAUAUGACAAAACGUACAGACGUGACAGUCAAUAGUGUGAAUUUCCACCUUAGGGGGCGCUAUGGAGCCAUUUUGCAUUUUAUUGUUUGGGCGACUUCAGAAUAUCGAAUUUUUCACCAGGCCCGGUCGUCCUGCCAAAUUUCAUGAGUUUUCGCCAGUGGGAAGUGGGCCAUUUUCCAGUUUAAAGCGGAGGAAAAAUAAUAAUACUAGGGCCCCGGUGGGGCACUGUCGGGCCCGAGCCGCGUCGAGCCGCCCCCAGCGCGACCGCCUCCCCCUCCCGAUCGCGUCACACUCAAGGUCCAAAGAUGGUGUGCGCACUUGUCUGUGGUCAUUUCCCAUUAUAAUGAAUGGGAGGCGCAGUUUCUACCAAAACACUCGCUGCAGACAAACUACAUGUCCUAUUUGAAAAAAGUCUGGACCAUGAGUGAGGGCACAAACACAGCUAGGAUAUAUCCAAACGGCAAGUUGCUCCUCAUUACGGUGUUGCCGGGAGAGCGAUGCGAUUGAGCCAUUGAGUGAUGGGCAGGAAAAACUUGGGGGAUGGGGGGGGGGAUGUAGAUUCUUUUAAGAAUGUGGAUAUUUGGACAUUGCAUCAUCCUAGAAAACUUGGAGGCCAGUGAGGACGAAAAUAAAAAGUUAUAAGACUUUUAAAUAUGUGGAUAUUUGUGUCAUCUUUGGCGCCCCCUAGAACGUAAACCGUGGGGUGCAGCGUCAUGAUUUGAAUAACUUUUAAUGGCCAUGGGGUGUAGAUUGGCCUCAGCAAAUUUGGUGCCGAUGGAACGAAAGCCUUCAGAGGAGUUAGCCACAUUCCAAUGUGUGCGGAUCAGCAAAAAAUGCGGAAUAACCCUUUAACCGUACAUUUGACAGAUACGCGUGCAUUGACUUUUUCGUAGAUCUUAUUGAGAUACAUGUGUGUGUCAAUUUUUGUGUCAUUUUGACAAAGCGUACAGGCGUGACACUCAACAGUGCGUAUUUUCACCUUAGGGGACAAGAAAAAAUGGACUUUUUUCUCCUGCCAUGGGGGGCGCUCUUUUGGGGAGUAAAAAUUCCUUCACAAAUGUGUUGAUGGCUGGACAUUGCAUCGUCCAAGAAAACUUGGAGGCCAGUGAGGACAAAAAUAAAAAGUUAUAAGACUUUUAAGAAUGUGGAUAUUUGGGUCAUCUUUGGCGCCCCCUAGAACGUAAACCGUGGGGUGCAGCAUCAUGAUUUGUACAACUUUUAAUGGCCAUGGGGUGUAGAUUGGCCUGAGCAAAUUUGGUGUCGGUGGAAUGAAAGCCUUCGGAGGAGUUAGUGAAAUUCCAAUGUGUGCGGAUCGGCAAAAAAUGCAAAAUAGCCCUUUUACCGUACAUUAUACAGAUACGCGCUCUUUGACUUUUUCGUAGAUCUUAUUGAGAUACACGUGAUUGUCAAAUUUUGUGUCAAUAUGACAAAGCGUUUAGGCGUGACACUCAACAAUGUGUAUUUUCACCUUAGGGGACAAGAAAAAAUGGACUUUUUUCUACUGCCAUGGGGGGGCGCUCUUUUGGGGAGUAAAAAUUCCUUCACAAAUGUGUUGAUGGCUGGACAUUGCAUCAUCCUAGAAAACUUGGAGGCCAGUGAGGACAAAAAUAAAAAGUUAUAAGACUUUUAAGAAUGUGGCUUUUUGGGUUAUCUUUGGCGCCCCCUAGAACCUAAACCGUGGGGUGCAGCGUCAUGAUUUGUACAACUUUUAAUGGCCAUGGGGUGUAGAUUGGCCUGAGCAAAUUUGGUACCGGUGGAAGGAAAGCCUUCGGAGGAGUUAGCGAAAUUCCAAUGUGUGCGGAUCGGCAAAAAAUGCGAAAUAGCCCUUUAACGGUACAUUUGACAGAUACGCCCGCACUGACUUUUUUGUAGAUCUUAUUGAGAUACACAUGUGUGUCAAUUUUUGUGUCAUUUUGACAAAGCGUACAGGCGUCAGGUGAGUUUUCACCAUAGGGGGCGCUAUGGAGCCAUUUUUCAUUUUUUUGUUUGGGCGACUUCAGAAUAUCGAAUUUUUCACCAGGCCCGGUCGUCCUGCCAAAUUUCCUGAGUUUUCGCCAGUGGGAAGUGGGCCAUUUUCCAGUUUAAAGCGGAGGAAAAAUAACGAAAGAAGAAUCCAUCAGGAACAAGAGGGCUCUCGCAGCUGCUUAGCAGCUACGCUCGGGCCCUAAAUAAUAACAAAAGAAGAAUCCAUCAGGAACAAGAGGGCUCUCGCAGCUGCUUAGCAGCUACGCUCGGGCCCUAAAGAAGAACUAGGGCCCCGUUGGGGCACUGGCGGGCCCGAGCCAUGUCGCACCGCCCCCAGCGCGACCGCCUCCCCUUCCUGAUCGCGUCACACUCAAGGUCGAAAGAUGGUGUGUGCACUUGUCUGUGGUCAUUUACCGUUAUAAUGAAUGGGAGGCGCAGUUUCUACCAAAACGCUCGCUGCAGAAAAACUCCAUGUCCUAUUUGAAAAACGUCUGGACCAUGAGUGAGGGCAGAAACACAGCUAGUAUAUAUCCAAAUGGCAAGUUGCUCCUCCUUUCGGUUUUGCCGAAGAGAGCGAAGGGGAGUCAUGAUUUUUACAACUUUGAAUGGCCAUGGGAUGUAGAUCUGCUUGAGCAAAUUUGGUUUCGGUGGGACGAAAGCCUUAGGAGGAGUUAGCGAAAUUCCAAUGUGUGCGGAUCGGGAAAAAAUGCGAAAUAGCCCUUUGACUGUACAUUUUACAGAUGCGUGCACAUUGACUUUUUCGUAGAUCUUAUUGAGAUACACGUGUGUGUCAAAUUUUGUGUCAUUUUGACAAAGUGUAUAGGAGUGACACUCAACAAUGUGUUUUUUCACCUUAGGGGACAAGAAAAAAUUGACUUUUUUCUCCUGCCAUGGGGGGGCGCUCUUUUCGAGAGUAAAAAUUCCUUUACAAAUGUGUUGAUGGCUGGACAUUGCAUCAUCCUAGAAAACUUGGAGGCCAGUGAGGACAAAAAUAAAAAGUUAUAAGACUAUUAAGAAUGUGGAUUUUAGGGUCAUCUUUGGCGCCCCUUAGAACGUAAACCGUGGGGUGCAGCGUCAUGAUUUUUACAACUUUGAAUGGCCAUGGGAUGUAGAUCUGCUUGAGCAAAUUUGGUGUCGGUGGGACGAAAGCCUUAGGAGGAGUUAGCGAAAUUCCAAUGUGUGCGGAUCGGGAAAAAAUGCGAAAUAGCCCUUUGACUGUACAUUUUACAGAUGCGUGCACAUUGACUUUUUCGUAGAUCUUAUUGAGAUACACGUGUGUGUCAAAUUUUGUGUCAUUUUGACAAAGCGUAUAGGAGUGACACUCAACAAUGUGUUUUUUCACCUUAGGGGACAAGAAAAAAUUGACUUUUUUCUCCUGCCAUGGGGGGGGCGCUCUUUUCGAGAGUAAAAAUUCCUUUACAAAUGUGUUGAUGGCUGGACAUUGCAUCAUCCUAGAAAACUUGGAGGCCAGUGAGGACAAAAAUAAAAAGUUAUAAGACUAUUAAGAAUGUGGAUUUUAGGGUUAUGUUUGGCGCCCCCUAGAACCUAAACUGUGGAGUGCAGCAUCAUGAUUUGUACAACUUUGAAUGGCCAUGGGGUGUAGAUUGGCCUGAGCAAAUUUGGUGGCGGUGGAACGAAAGCCUUCGGAGAAGUUAGCGAAAUUCCAAUGUGUGCGGAUCGGGAAAAAAUGCGACAUAACCCUUUAACCGUACAUUUUACAGAUACGUGCCCAUUGACUUUUUCGUAGAUCUUAUUGAGAUACACGUGAUUGUCAAAUUUUGGGUCAAUAUGACAAAGCGUAUAGGCGUGACACUCAACAAUGUGUAUUUUCACCUUAGGGGACAAGAAAAAAUUGACUUUUUUCUCCUGCCAUGGGGGGGCGCUCUUUUGGGGAGUAAAAAUUCCUUCACAAAUGUGUUGAUGGCUGGACAUUGCAUCAUCCUAGAAAACUUGGAGGGCAGUGAGGACAAAAAUAAAAAGUUAUAAGACUUUUACGAAUGUGGAUUUUGGGUUAUCUUUGGCGCCCCCUAGAACGUAAACCGUGGGGUGCAGCGUCAUGAUUUGUACAACUUUUAAUGGCCAUGGGGGGUAGAUUGGCCUGCGCAAAUGUGGUGCCGGUCGAACGAAAGCCUUCGGAGGAGUUAGCGAAAUUCCAAUGUGUGCAGAUCUGCAAAAAAUGCAAAAUAACCCAUUAACCGUACAUUUGACAGAUACGCCCGCACUGACUUUUUUGUAGAUCUUAUUGACAUACAUGUGUGUGUCAAUUUUUGUGUCAAUAUGACAAAGCGUACAGCCGUCAUGUGAAUUUUCACCUUAGGGGGCGCUAUGGAGCCAUUUUGCAUUUUAUUGUUUGGGCGACUUCAGAAUAUCGAAUUUUUCACCAGGCCCGGUCGUCCUGCCAAAUUUCCUGAGUUUUCGCCAGUGGGAAGUGGGCCAUUUUCCAGUUUAAAGCGGAGGAAAAAUAAUAACGAAAGAAGGAAACAUGCAGGAACAAGAGGGCUCUCGCAGCUGCUUAGCAGCUACGCUCGGGCCCUAACUAGGGCCCCGUUGGGGCACUGGCGGGCCCGAGCCGUGUCGCACCCCCCCCCCCCCCAACGCGCUGCCUCCCCGUCCCAUUCGUGUCCUCUGGCCAUCGCCCUCUCUGGUAACGCCCAUCACAGCAAAGACCCUUUUCCUUCAUCUGCGUUUGCUGUUCUUCCUGCCAGUGCGUGUUGCUUUCACUUACACUUGCCACAGCCAGCCUCGUGAGUGCCUAGCCUAUUGGAUAUCACUGUCACCUACACAGGACAGUCAUACUUUGUUUUUUAAUUUCACAUUAAUUUCCAUAUUGUAUAAACGACUGGAAAAAACUUGAGCCCCUGCCCCUGUAUUAUCAUGUGCACGUCCCUGUUCUAGCUCCAAGGUGAAUCUUCACUGCUCAUGUUCUCCUCAGAAGCAGUCACCUCACUCCCCUCAGGUUACUGUACACAUGCACCAACUGCCUGCUUCAGGUUUGGAUGGAGCUUCAUGGUUGUCUUUUGGAGAAAUGACCAGUCAAGUUGUGUUUGAAAUUUGAUUUUUUUCAGGGGCAAAAGGAAGCCUCUGCAUUCUUGUCAAAUAUGUAAAUAGCAUGUUUUUGCAGGUGCUAAAAAACAGACUCCGAGUGUGUGUGUGUGUGUGUGUGUGUGUGUGUGUGUGUGUGUGUGCGUGUGUGUGUGUGUGUCUGUGUGUGUAUCCUGCAGUACUCUGAGAAGAAUAAUAAGCAUAUUUCUGAGGUGAAUUUUGAAGAUUCAUCUGAGAGUUAGGUUUGAUUCGAUUCGAUUGACGCUCCCCAGCGUUCAAGUCACAUGACAUAUUUAACCGGAUGUAGCUGCAAGACGGAGCCUCGUUAACUCUCCGUUUCAACUUAUCUCAAAAGUGAGGACCUCAACCUAUAUACCAGUUUUUAAAUUGUGUUGAUAGGCCAAAUAAAACCAGAGUUAUGAUAAAUUAUGUCCGCGAUACUUUUUUUCUGCUUAUUUUGAUCACGUUCGGCGCUCGAUCGCGCUGUAUGAGACAGGAAAACAUAGCAUGCACACAUUAGCGACAGGUCUUACAGGCGGAAAAGGCUUGCCAAAAGAAAAAAAAAACACACCACAACAUCUCUCCUAUUGGUGGAAAACUUCACCACAACAACCAAUCCAAAAUUAUAUGGUGACUGAAUGACAAGGGGCGGGCGCUUACGUUCUUCCUGCAACAUGAGAAGGGAGGGAGGGACUCUCAGCAGGGAUGCAGUCUGGGACACGUAGUUGCAAACCUAGCGACUUUGUUGUUAGAUUCAAUUACUUUUCAGACCCCCUAACGACUUUUUUUUAGAAAGAAAGGGACUUUUAUCGACUUCUUCUGGAGUUUAGAGACUCUGACAUGAAGCAGGCUUUCCUUACUGAGGAGUUAGCAACGCUGCUAAGGGUGCAGAGCCACACAUGCGCUCCGAGCUCUGCAUGGGAGACUGAAGCUGACAGAGCUGCAGCAGUUAGCAGGUUUCACCCUCAGAGACCACCAGGGGUUCAUGUUGAGGCAUUUUCAGUUUUUGUUUUUUUUGCCAUAGACUGUCAGCACAAUCUGCAGUUACACUAACAAAAAUGCUGCAAAAAACAAAGAAUUAUGGAAAAAUUACACAUGGACUGACAUAGAGGAGGAUCUACACAAGUUUUUUACAUCAUGUUUUACAUCAUGCAUCAUUUACAUCAUGUUUUUUUGUAGUGGCAUAAAUAAAAAGUGACAUUUGUGAGACUAUACAGUGUUUUGUAAAUAAUUUUACAAAGAACGCCUGGGCCAUUGCCUGCAUUUUGAUGUAAAUAGAGGUAAAUUACUAUGUUCUUUGUUAAAAAUUUGCAUAUGUUUUGAAGUUUACAAUUUUUAUUUGAAGUUUAAGUUUUAAAAACAGUUCAUCACACAUAUUUGUGGUUUAAUUUCACAUUAAUUUCCAUAUUGUAUAAAUGACUGGAAAAAACUUGAGCCCCUACCCCUGUAUAAUCAUGUGCACGUCCCUGUUCUAGCUCCAAGGUGAAUCUUCACUGCUCAUGUUCUCCUCAGAAAUAGUCACCUCACUCCCCUCAGGUUACUGUACACAUGCACCAACUAUCUGCUUCAGGUUUGGAUGGAGCUUCAUGGUUGUCUUUUGGAGAAAUGAACAGUCAAGUUGUGUUUGAAAUCUGAUUUUUUUCAGGGGCAAAAGGAAGCCUCUGCAUUCUUGUCAAAUAUGUAAACAGCAUGUUUUUGCAGGUGCUAAAAAACAGACUCUGAGUGUGUGUGUGUGUGUGUGUGUGUGUGUAUAUGUGUGUGUAUCCUGCAGUACUCUGUACUCCUGCAGUGGCCAAAAUGACUUUUAAGAAUGUGGAUUUUUGGGUCAUCUUUGGCGCCCCCUAGAACGUAAACCGUGGGGUGCAGCGUCAUGAUUUUUACAACUUUGAAUGGGCAUGGGGUGUAGAUUGCCCUGAGCAAAUUUGGUAUCGGUGGGACGAAAGCCUUAGGAGGAGAUAGCCACAUUCCAAUGUGUGCGAAUCGGCAAAAAAUGCGAAAUAGCCCUUUAACCGUACAUUAUACAGAUAUGCGCUUUUUGACUUUUUCGUAGAUCUAAUUGAGAUACACAUGAUUGUCAAUUUUUGUGUCAAUAUGACAAAGCGUUCAGGCGUGACACUCAACAAUGUGUAUUUUCAUGUAAGGGGACAAGAAAAAAUUGACUUUUUUCUCCUGCCAUGGGGGGGCGCUCUUUUGGGGAGUAAAAAUUCCUUCACAAAUGUGUUGAUGGCUGGACAUUGCAUCAUCCUAGAAAACUUGGAGGGCAGUGAGGACAAAAAUAAAAAGUUAUAAGACUUUUAAGAAUGUGGAUUUUGGGUUAUCUUUGGCGCCCCCUAGAACGUAAACCGUGGGGUGCAGCGUCAUGAUUUGUACAACUUUUAAUGGCCAUGGGGGGUUGAUUGGCCUGCGCAAAUGUGGUGCCGGUCGAACGAAAGCCUUCGGAGGAGUUAGCGAAAUUCCAAUGUGUGCAGAUCUGCAAAAAAUGCAAAAUAACCCAUUAACCGUACAUUUGACAGAUAAGCCCGCACUGACUUUUUUGUAGAACUUAUUGAGAUACAUGUGUGUGUCAAUUUUUGUGUCAAUAUGACAAAGCGUACAGCCGUCAUGUGAAUUUUCACCUUAGGGGGCGCUAUGGAGCCAUUUUGCAUUUUAUUGUUUGGGCGACUUCAGAACAUCGAAUUUUUCACCAGGCCCGGUCGUCCUGCCAAAUUUCCUGAGUUUUCGCCAGUGGGAAGUGGGCCAUUUUCCAGUUUAAAGCGGAGGAAAAAUAAUAACUAGGGCCCCGUUGGGGCACUGGCGGGCCCGAGCCGUGUCGCGCUGCCCCCCCCAACGCGCUGCCUCCCCGUCCCAUUCGCGUCCUCUGGCCAUCGUCCUCUCUGGUAACGCCCAUCACUGCAAAGACCCUUUCCUUCAUCGGCGUUUGCUGUUCUUCCUGCCAGUGCGUGUUGCUUUCACUUACACUUGCCACAGCCAGCCUCGUGAGUGCCUAGCCUAUUGGAUAUCACUGUCACCUACACAGGACAGUCAUUACCUUUCUAUUAAUACUUUGUUUUUUAAUUUCACAUUAAUUUCCAUAUUGUAUAAAUGACUGGAAAAAACUUGAGCCCCUGCCCCUGUAUAAUCAUGUGCACGUCCCUGUUCUAGCUCCAAGGUGAAUCUUCACUGCUCAUGUUCUCCUCAGAAAUAGUCACCUCACUCCCCUCAGGUUACUGUACACAUGCACCAACUAUCUGCUUCAGGUUUGGAUGGAGCUUCAUGGUUGUCUUUUGGAGAAAUGAACAGUCAAGUUGUGUUUGAAAUCUGAUUUUUUUCAGGGGCAAAAGGAAGCCUCUGCAUUCUUGUCAAAUAUGUAAACAGCAUGUUUUUGCAGGUGCUAAAAAACAGACUCUGAGUGUGUGUGUGUGUGUGUGUGUGUGUGUGUGUGUGUGUGUGUGUGUGUGUGGCGUGUGUGUAUAUGUGUGUGUAUCCUGCAGUACUCUGUACUCCUGCAGUGGCCAAAAAGACUUUUAAGAAUGUGGAUUUUUGGGUCAUCUUUGGCGCCCCCUAGAACUGCAGUACUCUGUACUCCUGCAGUGGCCAAAAUGACUUUUAAGAAUGUGGAUUUUUGGGUCAUCUUUGGCACCCCCUAGAACGUAAACCGUGGGGUGCAGCGUCAUGAUUUUUACAACUUUGAAUGGGCAUGGGGUGUAGAUUGCCCUGAGCAAAUUUGGUAUCAGUGGGACGAAAGCCUUAGGAGGAGAUAGCCACAUUCCAAUGUGUGCGAAUCGGCAAAAAAUGCGAAAUAGCCCUUUAACCGUACAUUAUACAGAUACGCGCUCUUUGACUUUUUCGUAGAUCUAAUUGAGAUACACAUGAUUGUCAAUUUUUGUGUCAAUAUGACAAAGCGUUCAGGCGUGACACUCAACAAUGUGUAUUUUCAUGUAAGGGGACAAGAAAAAAUUGACUUUUUUCUCCUGCCAUGGGGGGGCGCUCUUUUGGGGAGUAAAAAUUCCUUCACAAAUGUGUUGAUGGCUGGACAUUGCAUCAUCCUAGAAAACUUGGAGGGCAGUGAGGACAAAAAUAAAAAGUUAUAAGACUUUUAAGAAUGUGGAUUUUUGGGUUAUCUUUGGCGCCCCCUAGAACCUAAACCGUGGGGUGCAGCGUCAUGAUUUGUACAACUUUUAAUGGCCAUGGGGUGUAGACUGGCCUGAGCAAAUGUGGUGCCGGUGGAACGAAAGCCUUCGGAGGAGUUAGCGAAAUUCCAAUGUGUGCGGAUCGGCAAAAAAUGCGAAAUAACCCUUUAACCGUACAUUUGACAGAUACGCCCGCACUGACUUUUUUGUAGAUCUUAUUGAGAUACAUAUGUGUGUCAAUUUUUGUGUCAAUAUGACAAAACGUACAGACGUGACAGUCAAUAGUGUGAAUUUCCACCUUAGGGGGCGCUAUGGAGCCAUUUUGCAUUUUAUUGUUUGGGCGACUUCAGAAUAUCGAAUUUUUCACCAGGCCCGGUCGUCCUGCCAAAUUUCAUGAGUUUUCGCCAGUGGGAAGUGGGCCAUUUUCCAGUUUAAAGCGGAGGAAAAAUAAUAAUAAUAAUAACUAGGGCCCCGUUGGGGCACUGGCGGGCCCGAGCUGUGUCACGCCGCCCCCAACACGACCGCCUCUCCCUCCCGAUCGCGUCACACUCAAGGUUCAACGAUGGUGUGCGCACUUGUCUGUGGUCAUUUACCAUUAUAAUGAAUGGGAGGCGCAGUUUCUACCAAAACGCUUGCUGCAGACAAACUACAUGUCCUAUUUGAAAAAAGUCUGGACCAUGAGUGAGGGCACAAACACAGCUAGGAUAUAUCCAAAUGGCAAGUUCCUCCUCCUUUCGUUUUUUUCCGAGAGAGCGAUGUGUUUGAGCCAUUGAGCGAUGGGCAGGAAAAACUUGACUUUUUCUCCUGCCAUGGGGGGGCGCUCUUUUGGGGAGAAAAAAUUCCUUCACAAAUGUGUUGAUGGCUAGACAUUGCAUCAUCCUAGAAAACUUUGAAGCCAAUGAGGACAAAAAUGAAAAGUUAUAAGACUUUUAAGAAUGUGGAUUUUUGGGUUAUCUUUGGCGACCCCUAGAACGUAAACCGUGGGGUGCAGCAUCAUGAUUUGUACAACUUUUAAUGGCCAUGGGGUGUAGAUUGGCCUGAGCAAAUUUGGUGCCGGUGGAACGAAAGCUUUAGGAGGAGUUAGCCACAUUCCAAUGUGUGCGAAUCAACCAAAAAUGCGAAACAGCCCUUUAACCGUACAUUUUGCAGACACGUGCGCAUUGUUUUUUUCGUAGAUCUUAUUGAGAUACACGUGAUUAUCAAAUUUUGUUUCAAUAUGACAAAGCGUACAGGCGUGACACUCAACAAUGUGUAUUUUCACCUUAUAGGACAAGAAAAAAUGGCCUUUUUUCUCCUGCCAUGGGGGGGCGCUCUUUUGGGGAGUAAAAAUUCCUUCACAAAUGUGUUGAUGGCUGGACAUUGCAUCAUCCUAGAAAACUUGGAGGCCAGUGAGGACAGAAAUAAAAAGUUAUAAGACUUGUAAGAAUGUGGAUUUUUGGGUUAUCUUUGGCGCCCCCUACAACGUAAACCGUGGGGUGCAGCGUCAUGAUUUGUACAACUUUGAAUGGCCAUGGGGUGUAGAUUGGCCUGAGCAAAUUUGGUGCCGGUGGAACGAAAGCCUUCGGAGGAGUUAGCGAAAUUCCAAUGUGUGCGGAUCGGCAAAAAAUGCGAAAUAGCCCUUUAAACGUACAUUUGACAGAUACGCCCGCACUGACUUUUUUGUAGAUCUUAUUGAGAUACACGUGUGUGUCAAAUUUUGUGUCAUUUUGACAAAGCGUACAGGCGUGACACUCAAUCAUGUGAAUUUUUCACCUUAGGGGGCGCUAUGGAGCCAUUUUGCAUUUGAUUGUUUGGGUGACUUCAGAAUAUCGAAUUUUUCACCAGGCCCGGUCGUCCUGCCAAAUUUCAUGAGUUUUCACCAGUGGGAAGUGGGCCAUUUUCCAGUUCAAAGGGGCAGAAAAAUAACUAGGACCCCGUUGGGGCACUGGCGGGCCCGAGCUGUGUCGCGUCCCCCCCCCAACGCGCUGCCUCCCCGUCCCAUUUGUGUCCUCUGGCCAUCGCCCUCUUUGGUAACGCCCAUCACUGCAAAGACCCUUUUCCUUCAUCGGCGUUUGCUGUUUUUCCUGCCAGUGCGUGUUGCUUUCACUUACACUUGCCACAGCCAGCCUCGUGAGUGCCUAGCCUAUUGGAUAUCACUGUCACCUACACAGGACAGUCAUUACCUUUCUAUUAAUACUUUGUUUUUUAAUUUCACAUUAAUUUCCAAAUUGUAUAAACGACUGGAAAAAACUUGAGCCCCUGCCCCUGUAUAAUCAUGUGCACGUCUCUGUUCUAGCUCUAAGGUAAAUCUUCACUGCUCAUGUUCUCCUCAGAAGCAGUCACCUCACUCCCCUCAGGUUACUGUACACAUGCACCAACUGCCUGCUUCAGGUUUGGAUGGAGCUUCAUGGUUGUCUUUUGGAGAAAUGACCAGUCAAGUUGUGUUUGAAAUUUGAUUUUUUUCAGGGGCAAAAGGAGCCUCUGCAUUUUUGUCAAAUAUGUAAAUAGCAUGUUUUUGCAGGUGCUACAAACCAGACUCUGAGUGUGUGUGUGUGCGUGUGUGUGUGUGUGUGCGUUCAAGUCACAUGACAUAUUUAACCGGAUGUAGCUGCAAGACGGAGCCUCGUUGACUCUCCGUUUCAAUUUAUCUCAAAAGUGAGGACCUCAACCUAUAUACCAGUUUUUAAAUUGUGUUGAUAGGCCAAAUAAAACCAGAGUUAUGAUAAAUUAUGUCCGCGAUACUUGUUUUCUGCUUAUUUUGAUCACGUUCGGCGCUCGAUCGCGCUGUAUGAGACAGGAAAACAUAGCAUGCAGACAUUAGCGACAGGUCUUACAGGCGGAAAAGGCUUGCCAAAGGAAAAAAAAUACACACCACAACAUCUCUCCUAUUGGUGGAAAACUUCACCACAACAACCAAUCCAAAAUUAUAUGGUGACUGAUUGACAAGGGGCGGGAACUUACGUUCUUCCUGCAAUAUGAGAAGGGAGGGAGGGACUCUCAGCAGGGAUGCAGUCUGGGACACGUAGUUGCAAACCUAGCGACUUUGUUGUUAGAUUCAAUGACUUUUCAGACCCCCUAACGACUUUUUUUUAGAAAGAAAGUGACUUUUAUCGACUUCUUCUGGAGUUUAGAGACUCUGACAUGAAGCAGGCUUUCCUUACUGAGGAGUUAGCAACGCUGCUAAGGGUGCAGAGCCACACAUGCGCUCCGAGCUCUGCAUGGGAGACUGAAGCUGACAGAGCUGCAGCAGUUAGCAGGUUUCACCCUCAGAGACCACCAGGGGUUCAUGUUGAGGCAUUUUCAGUUUUUUUUUUUUUUUUUUGCCAUAGACACUGUCAGCACAAUCUGCAGUUACACUAACAAAAAUGCUGCAAAAAACAAAGAAUUAUGGAAAAAUUACACAUGGACUAACAUAGAGGAGGAUCUACACAAGUUUUUUACAUCAUGUUUUACAUCAUGCAUCAUUUACAUCAUGUUUUUUUGUAGUGGCAUAAAUAAAAAGUGACAUUUGUGAGACUAUACAGUGUUUUGUAAAUAAUUUUACAAAGAACACCUGGGCCAUUGCCUGCAUUUUGAUGUCAAUAGAGGUAAAUUACUAUGUUCUUUGUUAAAAAUUUGCAUAUGUUUUGAAGUUUACAAUUUUUAUUUGAAGUUUAAGUUUUAAAAACAGUUCAUCACACAUAUUUGUGGUUUUCACAGUAAAAACGUUACUUUUUUCCACUCGGAUUUUAUGUUUUGUGUGUGAAUUUGGGUCCAAUGUGUAAAUAUAGUAUGUCAAAAUGAUAAAAUAACUGUAAAUUGACACAGGUGAGGUUGUGCUGAAAAAAAUGAUACCAGGCAAGGCAAGGUAAAAAUUUUGUAAGAGGAAAUAUAAAGGUAAAAUCUAAAGUAGUCAAAAACGGCCAAUAGUGACUCACAGACUCCACUGACAAGUCCCUUUGGCGCCACUCAGUGGGCAAAACUACUUUGUCUACUGUAAUGUAUAUUUGGGUCAUCUUUGGCGCCCCCUAAAACGUAAACCGUGGGGUGCAGCGUCAUGAUUUUUACAACUUUGAAUGGCCAUGGAGUGUAGAUUGGCCUGAGCAAAUUUGGUGUCAGUGGGACGAAAGCCUUAGGAGGAGUUAGCGAAAUUCCAAUGUGUGCGAAUCGGCAAAAAAUGCAAAAUAGCCCUUUUACCGUACAUUAUACAGAUACGCGCGCAUUGACUUUUUCGUAGAUCUAAUUGAGAUACACAUGAUUGUCAAUUUUUGUGUCAUUUUGCCAAAGCGUACAGGCGUGACAGUCAACAAUGUGUAUUUUCACCUUAGGGGACAAGAAAAAAUGGACUUUUUUCUCCUGCCAUGGGGGGCGCUCUUUUAGGGAGUAAAAAUUCCUUCACAAAUGUGUUGAUGGCUGGACAUUGCAUCAUCCUAGAAAACUUGGAGGCCAGUGAGGACAAAAAUAAAAAGUUAUAAGACUUUUAAAAAUGUGGAUUUUUGGGUUAUCUUUGGCGCCCCCUAGAACCUAAACCGUGGGGUGCAGCGUCAUGAUUUGAAUAACUUUUAAUGGCCAUGGGGUGUAGAUUGGCCUGAGCAAAUGUGGUGCCGGUGGUACGAAAGCCUUCGGAGGAGUUAGCGAAAUUCCAAUGUGUGCGGAUCGGCAAAAAAUGCGAAAUAACCCUUUAACCGUACAUUAGACAGAUACGCGCGCAUGGACUUUUUUGUAGAUCUUAUUGAGAUACAUGUGUGUGUCAAUUUUUGUGUCAUUUUGACAAAGCGUACAGGCGUGACAGUCAAUAGUGUGAAUUUUCACCUUAGGGGACAAGAAAAAAUGGACUUUUUUCUCCUGCCAUGGGGGGGCGCUCUUUUGGGGAGUAAAAAUUCCUUCACAAAUGUGUUGAUGGCUGGACAUUGCAUCAUCCUAGAAAACUUGGAGGCCAGUGAGGGCAAAAAUAAAAAGUUAUAAGACUUUUAAAUAUGUGGAUUUUAGGGUUAUCUUUGGCGCCCCCUAGAACCUAAACCGUGGGGUGCAGCGUCAUGAUUUGAAUAACUUUUAAUGGCCAUGGGGUGUAGAUUGGCCUGAGCAAAUGUGGUGCCGGUGGAACGAAAGCCUUCGGAGGAGUUAGCGAAAUUCCAAUGUGUGCGGAUCGGCAAAAAAUGCGAAAUAACCCUUUAACCGUACAUUUGACAGAUACGCCCGCACUGACUUUUUUGUAGAUCUUAUUGAGAUACAUGUGUGUGUCAAUUUUUGUGUCAUUUUGACAAAGCGUACAGGCGUGACAGUGAAUAGUGUGAAUUUUCACCUUAGGGGGCGCUAUGGAGCCAUUUUGCAUUUUCUUGUUUGGGCGACUUCGGAAUAUCAAAUUUUUCACCAGGCCCGGUCGUCCUGCCAAAUUUCAUGAGUUUUCGCCAGUGGGAAGUGGGCCAUUUUCCAGUUCAAAGGGGAGGAAAAAUAACUAGGGCCCCGUUGGGGCACUGGCGGGCCCGAGCCGUGUCACGCUGCCCCCAGCGCAACCGCCUCCCCCACCCGAUCGCGUCACACUCAAGGUCCAAAGAUGGUGUGCGCACUUGUUUGUGGUCAUUUACCAUUAUAAUGAACGGGAGGCGCAGUUUCUACCAAAACGCUCGCUGCAGAAAAACUCCAUGUCCUAUUUGAAAAAAGUCUGGACCAUGAGUGAGGGCACAAACACAGCUAAGAUAUAUCCAAAUGGCAAGUUGCUCCUCCUUUCGCUUUUGCCGAGAGAGCAGUGCGUUUGAGCCAUUGAAUGAUGAACAGGAAAAACUUGACUUUAUUCUCCUGCCAUGGGGGGGCGCUCUUUUAACGAGAAAAAACUCCUUCACAAAUGUGUUGAUGGCUGGACAUUGCAUCAUCCUAGAAAACAUGGAGGCCAGUGAGGACAAAAAUAAAAAGUUAUAAGACUUUUAAAUAUGUGGAUUUUAGGGUUAUCUUUGGCGCCCCCUAGAACCUAAACCGUGGGGUGCAGCGUCAUGAUUUGAAUAACUUUUAAUGGCCAUGGGGUGUAGAUUGGCCUGAGCAAAUGUGGUGCCGGUGGAACAAAAGCCUUCGGAGGAGUUAGCGAAAUUCCAAUGUGUGCGAAUCUGCAAAAAAUGCGAAAUAACCCUUUAACCGUACAUUUUACAGAUACGUGGCCAUUGAAUUUUUUGAAGAUCUUAUUGAAAUACACGUGUAUGUAAAAUUUUGUGUCAAUACGACAAAACAUACAGGCGUAGCACUCAACAAUGUGUAUUUUCACCUUAGUGGACAAGAAAAAAUGGACUUUUUUCUCCUGCCAUGGGGGGGCGCUCUUUUGGCGAGUAAAAAUUCCUUCACAAAUGUGUUGAUGGCUGGACAUUGCAUCAUCCUAGAAAACUUGGAGGCCAGUGGGGACAAAAAUAAAAAGUUAUAAGACUUUUAAAUAUGUGGAUUUUACGGUUAUCUUUGGCGCCCCCUAGAACCUAAACCGUGGGGUGCAGCGUCAUGAUUUGAAUAACUUUUAAUGGCCAUGGGGUGUAGAUUGGCCUGAGCAAAUGUGGUGCCGGUGGAACGAAAGCCUUCGGAGGAGUUAGCGAAAUUCCAAUGUGUGCGGAUCGGCAAAAAAUGCGAAAUAACCCUUUAACCGUACAUUUGACAGAUACGCCCGCACUGACUUUUUUGUAGAUCUUAUUGAGAUACAUGUGUGUGUCAAUUUUUGUGUCAUUUUGACAAAGCGUACAGGCGUGACAGUGAAUAGUGUGAAUUUUCACCUUAGGGGGCGCUAUGGAGCCAUUUUGCAUUUUCUUGUUUGGGCGACUUCGGAAUAUCAAAUUUUUCACCAGGCCCGGUCGUCCUGCCAGAUUUCAUGAGUUUUCGCCAGUGGGAAGUGGGCCAUUUUCCAGUUCAAAGGGGAGGAAAAAUAAUAAUAAUAACAAAAGAAGGAAACUACAGGAACAAGAGGGCUCUCGCAGCUGCUUAGCAGCUACGCUCGGGCCCUAAAGAAAGAAACAAAGAAAAACCACUUGGGGAAUAAUAGGGCCUACGCCCGGCUGCUCUGCAGCUGGCUCGGGCCCUAAUAAGACUUUGAAAUAUGUGGAUUUUAGGGUUAUCUUUGGCGCCCCCUAGAACCUAAACCGUGGGGUGCAGCGUCAUGAUUUGAAUAACUUUUAAUGGCCAUGGGGUGUAGAUUGGCCUGAGCAAAUUUGGUGCCGGUGGAACGCCAGCCUUAGGAGGAGUUAGCGAAAUUCCAAUGUGUGCGGAUCAGCAAAAAAUGCGGAAUAACCCUUUAACCGUACAUUUGACAGAUACGCGCGCAUUGACUUUUUCGUAGAUCUUAUUGAGAUACAUGUGUGUGUCAAAUUUUGUGUCAAUAUGACAAAGCGUACAGGCGUGACACUCAACAAUGUGUAUUUUCACCUUAGGGGACAAGAAAAAAUUGACUUUUUUCUCCUGCCAUGGGGGGCGCUCUUUUGGGGAUUAAAAAUUCCUUCACAAAUGUGUUGAUGGCUGGACAUUGCAUCAUCCUAGAAAACUUGGAGGCCAGUGAGGUCAAAAAUAAAAAGUUAUAAGACUUUUAAAUAUGUGGAUUUUAGGGUUAUCUUUGGCGCCCCCUAGAACCUAAACCGUGGGGUGCAGCGUCAUGAUUUGAAUAACUUUUAAUGGCCAUGGGGUGUAGAUUGGCCUGAGCAAAUGUGGUGCCGGUGGAACGAAAGCCUUCGGAGGAGUUAGCGAAAUUCCAAUGUGUGCGGAUCGGCAAAAAAUGCGGAAUAACCCUUUAACCGUACAUUUGACAGAUACGCCCGCACUGACUUUUUUGUAGAUCUUAUUGAGAUACAUGUGUGUGUCAAUUUUUGUGUCAAUAUGACAAAGCGUAAAGGCGUGACAGUCAAUAGUGUGAAUUUUCACCUUAGGGGGCGCUAUGGAGCCAUUUUGCAUUUUAUUGUUUGGGCUACUUCAGAAUAUCGAAUUUUUCACCAGGCCCGGUCAUCCUGCCAAAUUUCAUGAGUUUUCGCCAGUGGGAAGUGGGCCAUUUUCCAGUUCAAAGGGGAGGAAAAAGAAGAAAGAAAGAAACAAAGAACUAGGACCCCGUUGGGGCACUGUCGGGCCCGAGCCGUGUCGCGCCGCCCCCAGUGCGACCGCCUCCCCCUCCCGAUCGCGUCACACUCAAGAUCCAAAGAUGGUGUGCGCACUUGUCUGUGGUCAUUUCCUAUUAUAAUGAAUGGGAGGCGCAGUUUCUACCAAAACACUCGCUGCAGACAAACUUCAUGUCCUAUUUGAAAAAAGUCUGGACCAUGAGUGAGGGCACAAACACAGCUAUGAUAUAUCGAAAUGGCAGGUUGCUCCUCCUUACGGUGUUGCCUGGAGAGCGAUGCGAUUGAGCCAUUGAGCGAUGGGCAGGAAAAACUUAACUUUUUCUCCUGCCAUAUGGGGGGGGGGGGGAUGUGGAUUCUUUGAAGAAUGUGGAUUUUUGGGUCAUCUUUGGCGCCCCCUAGAACGUAAACCGUGGGGUGCAGCGUCAUGAUUUUUACAACUUUGAAUGGCCAUGGGGUGUAGAUUGGCCUGAGCAAAUUUGGUGUCAGUGGGACGAAAGCCUUAGGAGGAGUUAGCCACAUUCCAAUGUGUGCGAAUCGGCAAAAAAUGCAAAAUAGCCCUUUAACCGUACAUUUGACAGAUACGCGCGAAUCGAUUCUUUUGUAGAUCUUAUUGAGAUACAUAUGUGUGUCAAUUUUUGUGUCAAUAUGAUAAAGCGUACAGGCGUGACAGUCAAUAGUGUGAAUUUCCACCUAGGGGACAAGAAAAAAUUGGCUUUUUUUUCCUGCCAUGGGGGGGCGCUCUUUUGGGGAGUAAAAAUUCCUUCACAAAUGUGUUGAUGGCUGGACAUUGCAUCAUCCUAGAAAACUUGGAGGCCAGUGAGGACAAAAAUAAAAAGUUAUAAGACUUUUAAAUAUGUGGAUUUUAGGGUUAUCUUUGGCGCCCCCUAGAACCUAAACCGUGGGAUGCAGCGUCAUGAUUUGAAUAACUUUUAAUGGCCAUGGGGUGUAGAUUGGCCUGAGCAAAUGUGGUACCGGUGGAAUGAAAGCCUUCGGAGGAGUUAGCGAAAUUCCAAUGUGUGCGGAUCGGCAAAAAAUGCGGAAUAACCCUUUAACCGUACAUUUGACAGAUACGCGCGCAUUGACUUUUUCGUAGAUCUUAUUGAGAUACAUGUGUGUGUCAAUUUUUGUGUCAUUUUGCCAAAGCGUACAGGUGUUACACUCAACAAUGUGUAUUUUCACCUUAGGGGACAAGAAAAAAUGGACUUUUUUCUCCUGCCAUGGGGGGGCGCUCUUUUGGGGAGUAAAAAUUCCUUCACAAAUGUGUUGAUGGCUGGACAUUGCAUCAUCCUAGAAAACUUGGAGGCCAGUGAGGGCAAAAAUAAAAAGUUAUAAGACUUUUAAAUAUGUGGAUCUUAGGGUUAUCUUUGGCGCCCCCUAGAACCUAAACCGUGGGGUGCAGCGUCAUGAUUUGAAUAACUUUUAAUGGCCAUGGGGUGUAGAUUGGCCUGAGCAAAUGUGGUGCCGGUGGAACGAAAGCCUUCGGAGGAGUUAGCGAAAUUCCAAUGUGUGCGGAUCGGCAAAAAAUGCGAAAUAACCCUUUAACCGUACAUUUGACAGAUACGCCCGCACUGACUUUUUUGUAGAUCUUAUUGAGAUACAUGUGUGUGUCAAUUUUUGUGUCAUUUUGACAAAGCGUACAGGCGUGACAGUCAAUAGUGUGAAUUUUCACCUUAGGGGGCGCUAUGGAGCCAUUUUGCAUUUUCUUGUUUGGGCGACUUCGGAAUAUCAAAUUUUUCACCAGGCCCGGUCGUCCUGCCAAAUUUCAUGAGUUUUCGCCAGUGGGAAGUGGGCCAUUUUCCAGUUCAAAGGGGAGGAAAAAUAAUAACUAGGGCCCCGUUGGGGCACUGGCGGGCCCGAGCCAUGUCGCACCGCCCCCAGCGCGACCGCCUCCCCCUCCUGAUCGCGUCACACUCAAGGUCGAAAGAUGGUGUGUGCACUUGUCUGUGGUCAUUUACCGUUAUAAUGAAUGGGAGGCGCAGUUUCUACCAAAACGCUCGCUGCAGAAAAACUCCAUGUCCUAUUUGAAAAACGUCUGGACCAUGAGUGAGGGCAGAAACACAGCUAGUAUAUAUCCAAAUGGCAAGUUGCUCCUCCUUUCGGUUUUGCCGAAGAGAGCGAAGGGGAGUCAUGAUUUUUACAACUUUGAAUGGCCAUGGGAUGUAGAUCUGCUUGAGCAAAUUUGGUUUCGGUGGGACGAAAGCCUUAGGAGGAGUUAGCGAAAUUCCAAUGUGUGCGGAUCGGGAAAAAAUGCGAAAUAGCCCUUUGACUGUACAUUUUACAGAUGCGUGCACAUUGACUUUUUCGUAGAUCUUAUUGAGAUACACGUGUGUGUCAAAUUUUGUGUCAUUUUGACAAAGUGUAUAGGAGUGACACUCAACAAUGUGUUUUUUCACCUUAGGGGACAAGAAAAAAUUGACUUUUUUCUCCUGCCAUGGGGGGGCGCUCUUUUCGAGAGUAAAAAUUCCUUUACAAAUGUGUUGAUGGCUGGACAUUGCAUCAUCCUAGAAAACUUGGAGGCCAGUGAGGACAAAAAUAAAAAGUUAUAAGACUAUUAAGAAUGUGGAUUUUAGGGUCAUCUUUGGCGCCCCUUAGAACGUAAACCGUGGGGUGCAGCGUCAUGAUUUUUACAACUUUGAAUGGCCAUGGGAUGUAGAUCUGCUUGAGCAAAUUUGGUGUCGGUGGGACGAAAGCCUUAGGAGGAGUUAGCGAAAUUCCAAUGUGUGCGGAUCGGGAAAAAAUGCGAAAUAGCCCUUUGACUGUACAUUUUACAGAUGCGUGCACAUUGACUUUUUCGUAGAUCUUAUUGAGAUACACGUGUGUGUCAAAUUUUGUGUCAUUUUGACAAAGCGUAUAGGAGUGACACUCAACAAUGUGUUUUUUCACCUUAGGGGACAAGAAAAAAUUGACUUUUUUCUCCUGCCAUGGGGGGCGCUCUUUUCGAGAGUAAAAAUUCCUUUACAAAUGUGUUGAUGGCUGGACAUUGCAUCAUCCUAGAAAACUUGGAGGCCAGUGAGGACAAAAAUAAAAAGUUAUAAGACUAUUAAGAAUGUGGAUUUUAGGGUUAUGUUUGGCGCCCCCUAGAACCUAAACUGUGGAGUGCAGCAUCAUGAUUUGUACAACUUUGAAUGGCCAUGGGGUGUAGAUUGGCCUGAGCAAAUUUGGUGGCGGUGGAACGAAAGCCUUCGGAGAAGUUAGCGAAAUUCCAAUGUGUGCGGAUCGGGAAAAAAUGCGACAUAACCCUUUAACCGUACAUUUUACAGAUACGUGCCCAUUGACUUUUUCGUAGAUCUUAUUGAGAUACACGUGAUUGUCAAAUUUUGGGUCAAUAUGACAAAGCGUAUAGGCGUGACACUCAACAAUGUGUAUUUUCACCUUAGGGGACAAGAAAAAAUUGACUUUUUUCUCCUGCCAUGGGGGGCGCUCUUUUGGGGAGUAAAAAUUCCUUCACAAAUGUGUUGAUGGCUGGACAUUGCAUCAUCCUAGAAAACUUGGAGGGCAGUGAGGACAAAAAUAAAAAGUUAUAAGACUUUUACGAAUGUGGAUUUUGGGUUAUCUUUGGCGCCCCCUAGAACGUAAACCGUGGGGUGCAGCGUCAUGAUUUGUACAACUUUUAAUGGCCAUGGGGGGUAGAUUGGCCUGCGCAAAUGUGGUGCCGGUCGAACGAAAGCCUUCGGAGGAGUUAGCGAAAUUCCAAUGUGUGCAGAUCUGCAAAAAAUGCAAAAUAACCCAUUAACCGUACAUUUGACAGAUACGCCCGCACUGACUUUUUUGUAGAUCUUAUUGACAUACAUGUGUGUGUCAAUUUUUGUGUCAAUAUGACAAAGCGUACAGCCGUCAUGUGAAUUUUCACCUUAGGGGGCGCUAUGGAGCCAUUUUGCAUUUUAUUGUUUGGGCGACUUCAGAAUAUCGAAUUUUUCACCAGGCCCGGUCGUCCUGCCAAAUUUCCUGAGUUUUCGCCAGUGGGAAGUGGGCCAUUUUCCAGUUUAAAGCGGAGGAAAAAUAAUAACGAAAGAAGGAAACAUGCAGGAACAAGAGGGCUCUCGCAGCUGCUUAGCAGCUACGCUCGGGCCCUAAUAACAAAAGAAGGAAACUACAGGAACAAGAGGGCUCUCGCAGCUGCUUAGCAGCUACGCUCGGGCCCUAAUAAUAACAAAAGAAGGAAACUACAGGAACAAGAGGGCUCUCGCAGCUGCUUAGCAGCUACGCUCGGGCCCUAAUAAGAAGAAGAAGAAGAAAGAAGAAUCCAUCAGGAAUAAUAG
RNAcentral lists this long non-coding RNA (49706 nucleotides) under Xyrichtys novacula (pearly razorfish). The record is from RNAcentral. Lineage: Eukaryota; Metazoa; Chordata; Actinopteri; Labriformes; Labridae.